Molecule: long non-coding RNA, 55387 nt
Filed under: Coffea arabica (coffee)
Lineage: Eukaryota; Viridiplantae; Streptophyta; Magnoliopsida; Gentianales; Rubiaceae
Description: long non-coding RNA (CARA_LNC006743)
Source: RNAcentral
AACUUUUUUUUUUUUUUUUUUUUUAAGGUGAAGGGUUGUUUUGAUAGGACUGUUAAUAAGAUUAGAUUGGAGUUAGUUGGGCCUACUCAACCUGAAAAAAAAAUUGAUGAAUCUAAUCCUUCAUUGAGUUAGCUUGAAUUUAAAUUAAAUAUGAAGCCCGAAUUAAAUGCAAGUCAAAAUUGAACUUUAUUAGCCUCACACCUGAUACAUGCUUGGCUCGUUAAUCUAUAAUUAUAUGUAUAAUAAUCUAUACAAUAGGUGUAUAUAAUUAUAUCCAAAUAAAUAUAUAGUAACUAAAUCUUGGCUUUGUAGGUCGUCUAAAUCACCUCUAAUAUUAGGAAUGUCAUUAAUGAUGUUAUAACUAUGUUGUCUUUCUAUUCUAAAGUUGUGUUAUAUAAAGUUGGCAGGGACCAAGUCCUUCUUGCCCAUGAGUUAGCGGUGCAAGCUUACUGUUAUGUUAUUGCUACCUGUCAUUAAUAUUAAUUCCAAGUUUGUGUUUUUUUUUUAAAAGUUUUAAUGUUGUGGUCAUAUGAAUAUUAAAUUAAUUUUAAAACUUAAUAGUUCUAAUAAUUAUAUUGGGUUAAACCCAAGUCACGCUCACAGCAGAAUAUUUUGUGAGUCAAGUAUGAGUUUUAUAUUUAUCAACCCAAAACUCAUAACUCAAGAUCCGAAAGUGAUACUAACUAUAUGAGUUGAAUUUGAACUUAUUAAAAUCGGACUCAAAUGGCUUGAUUGAUAGGCCUAGAUUUUUGGAAUCAGAUUGACAAGUCUAGUUUUUUAGGACGCAAUAAAUAGAAGAUCAUCUGCAUAUCGGCUUAUGUUCCACGUUUAUUUAAGUCAAAGCGCACACUUCCUUAUACUAUAUAAGAAUGAGUUGUAGUCAAAAAGAGGUUUUGAAUUUCAACCGCAUAGAUAGGGGCAUUUUCAAAAUGUGGAAUGAUGUAGAGUUUAUUUUUAGCUUUGGGUACAGGUGAUGGUAGCAUGUGUUUUGGUAUAUGUACAGAAAUCUCCUCAUGUUUGUACAUUUAAAGCGUAAAUUUAUGGAGACAUUAGGAUAUUUUUGGAAUGUGAGACUGUUUUAUCAUCGUUUUUGUAUCGAGUUUAUAUAUUGGUGUAAUUACUUAAAUGGUGUUACAGACACAUUUACUUGAAGUGUAGUAUUUAUUGUGCAAUUGAAAUGAGGACACAUUAAUUACUGUAAUCUUAUCACUUGAGGAUAUUCAAUUGCCUGAAACAUAUUCAAUUGUUUUUGCCAUUUACAUCUCAAUUAAACUGAAGGAAACGUGGGUAUGUUAAUGAAUUAAUGCCUCAGUAUUGGUUUUUCGGUGGUUUAGCUUGAGGUGAGUUUUGUUCCUUAAUUUUAUUGUUUAUGUGGGUGAGUUUGGUGGUGUGUAGCGUCGGUAACUGCUUCCAUCUCAAAAUUUGAAAAUCUAAUUGCGUAAUUUAACUGUAAUAUUAUGAUUUUUUUCACAAAUUUGGUUGGUCUGUAUAAUUUGAAUGGUGCGGUUAUGAUGUAAUAGGUUUGGAGCAACUGCAAGAAAAAGUUUUCUAAGGGGUAUCUAGAACAAGGUAAUCCAAAAAAGUACUUUAAUUAAUUACUUCAAUUAUGGUGUGUUUUCUGCUGCAUGUAGUAAGUGAUUCAUAUAUGAAAUUCAUUUUGAUAGUAAUUUGAUAUUGAAACAUUGUGAAUUGGUAAGUUACAUGGUAUACUGCUGAUUUGAGUUUGAAUUAUUUAGUCACUGAUGAAUUAAUAAAAUAAACACCUACUAAGCCAUUCAUAUUGGUAGUAUUUUACAUAUACCUUCUAAUUAAGCAAAGGUAAUAGAAAUGGUUUGAUUUCCUUAGGCAGUGAUGAAUUUGUAAAAACUCCUUCAAGCAAUCAAGCAAACAACUUCAAUGAGUGCUCUCUUAUAUUAUAGAAUAAUGAAUGAUUUCUUAUACAAAUAAACAAAACUAAAAUUGCUGCAAAAAGCUAAAAAGAUGAACCAAAAUAAUGGGAAACAAAACCUCACACUAUACAAGAUGAGUGUGUCUUUGAAUUUUAACCCCAAAAACAGACACAUAACUAAUGAAAUUACUUCUAAUUCAUGAAAUGUAAAUUGAAUAAUAAUCCGAAGAGAGGGAAACUUAAAUAGCUUUUUUACAGAUGCUAUAGUCCUUCUUGAUCAACAGGUUGAUUAAUAUUUUAGCCUCAAGAGCAGACAUAUAGCUAAUGAAAUUACCCAUAAUCUGUGAAAUGCAAGUUGAAUAAUAAUUUAAAGAAAGGGAGACUUAAAUGGCCUUUGCAGACAAUCUAUUAUUGAAACAUAUGCUAUGAAGUAUUAUCGUUUAGUAUGAUAUCCAACUCUUAUCUUCAUUCAUUUACUUUCCUAUAAAUUUAAAUACUUUCGAAACUCCACGAAAUAACAACACAACCACCAACAAACAACUAUUUAAAAAACAUUUUUAAUCACAGGUACCAAAUACCCGUGCAAUGUGUGGGCACUCCCUCCCUAAUGCUUUCAAAUAAUAUCAUCUGUUAAUAGGAGCCCAAAAGUGUUAAUAAGUGCACCAAAAUAGGACGAAUUACAUAUAUUAACAGAAUUUACUUUCUAUACAUUGAUAAUAUAAUGAUUUUUUUUAUACAAACAACCAUAAAUGUAUGUUACGUGUAUGAUUUGAAUUUCAAAUUUGAAUUUAUUUUAUAUAAUGUGAUCUAACCUGUUAGUAUAAAAAAAUUAUCUACUAAUAAUGUAUAAAAAAAUUUACCCAUGUUAAUAUUAAUAUUAAUAAGGAGCACUUCUCAAAAGAAUUCUUUGUUUCGAUGGACUUUUCUAGCAACUGCAUAGGGUCACUUGUUAGACAAAUUCAAAUUUCAUAUGUUCCAACAUCCGAUGAAGGAGAAAUUCUUAUGUAAAAUUGCACAACUUAAAUCAAAUUAAAUUGUAGUACAACAUUUUAUCAACUUAAAUCAUAAUCGUUCUUUCUGUAAACUCGUACGUGUCCUCUAGUUUCAUGCCAUUCCGUAGUUUCGUUUAGGAUUUGUUUUAUCUUUAAAUACAUUUAGCGGUCAAAGUAAAUUCUUAAACACAUUUCAAAUUGCGUUUGCACCUUCGAACUCGGGUCAAUGCGAUGGGGCCAUUUUCUCUAAGAAGUCAUAAAUCGAACUUUUUGUUAGUAACUGGAGCUCAAGUCAUGUAUGUAAAAUUGUCCAAGCUACGUUUAUGAAUGCCAAAGUACAUUAAUCAAUCAGUUACACAUAUUGAAAUAUUGCAGCAAACAACGGAUCAGCAAUUGAAAAAAAUUAAACAUGAAAUAACUCGAGAAACAUUUUUCAAAACAAACCAUGCAUGUAUGAGUAAUUAAAAAGAAAAUCUCUAAACAAAUCUCAAAUUCAAUGAGCCCAACAACUCUAUAAAUUCACGGUUCUUGAUGUAUCAAAUACUUGGAUUGAGAAGCACUUGAUGAAUCAAAUUCUCAAGAUUCAAGUUUGAAUCUGUCACGGCCGUUUCUGCCAAUUUUUUCCAGUCCAUGGCCUUUUUCUUCAUUUCCUUACCUUUCUCUCCAGCCAUUAACUCGCUAACAAGGCCUUCAACCUCAUCCCUCUUGACAUUAUUGUCUAUCUCCAUUCCAAUACCCCAUUUAGUGCAGCAAAACCAGCAAUUAGUUUGUUGGUCAGCAAAAAAUGGCCAGCAGAUCAUAGGCACCCCAUAACUAAUACUUUCGAUUGUGGAAUUCCACCCACUAUGAGUUAAGAAUCCUCCAACAGCAGGAUGGCUGAGAACUUUCUCUUGAGGGCACCAGCCUGCAAACAUGCUUCUUUCUUUGGUUUCUUCAAGAAACUCACUUGGCAGAGUAGCAGAACUGCCUGAGACAAGAUCUGGCCUUAAAAUCCACAAAAAGUUUUGUUUGCUAUUAGCAAGUCCCCAAGCAAAUUCGACUAGUUGCUCAGGUGUCAUAACAGCAAUGCUUCCAAAGUUGACAUAAACCACAGAGUUUGGAUCUUUCGAAUCAAGCCAUUCAAGACAUUCUGGCUCUUCCUUCCAGAGAUUUGAUUGAAUAUCUGUUAAAGACUUAUCAUGCACAUGAUUAUCAAGGAAAUGUAGUGGUCCAAUGGUGUAAAUUGGUGGAAGAUAAGAUGAAAGUGCAUCUAAUACACCAUGUUCGAGUUGUUGAUAGGUGUUUAUAAUGAUGGCAGAAGCCUUUCUAGCUCUCUGAGUUUCUUGCAGGACGAAUUUCACCAUAAAAUCAUCGGGAUUCGUGGUUCGUAAGAAGCUUGGAAGAUCCUUCAAGCGUAUACCCUCUAAUUCUGGAAUCCAGUCUAGAACAGUAUCUAGAUAUCCAUUUGUCAAAUAACUGGCAUCUGCAAGGCAUAAGAUGUACGACACCAAGUAUCAUCAGAAUCAUUCAAAGGGCAUGGGGGCAGUGCAAAAUUUGAUGCUUUUUACAAAGUCAUAUUCUUGAAAAACAAAUAUUUUCCAACUUAGUUAAAAGAAAAAAAAAAUCUUACACUUUCUGAUUCAUUAAAUUAAAUUUUGACUACAAAGUCAAUGUUAUGCGUCCGCCAAUGACUAUAUGAAGUAAACCACAAAAAAAAAUGAUGAGAAUAGUACUGACAGUGCUUGAAGAAGCAAAAUAUUAUUUUAUGGUGACACUGACAAAAAUGGUCCGCAAAAAAAUGGUGACACUGACAAAAAAUUAUUUUAUUAAGAAUUGGUACCUUUGAGUGGUAUGAUACCCUUUUCCAUAAGCUUGGCAUACUGGAAGUACCCCAAGUAGGAACAUGCACUGGCGGUCCAAAAAAGAACUUCAGGGAUGCUUAGUUCUUCAGCAGCUGCAAGAGUGAAGGCCGUUACCGCAUCAGAAACUAUGCAAGAAACUGGGGGUACUUUCGAGGAAGAUGUAUCGUUGAGUUCAGCAAGUAGCUCCCUGAAGGGACCUAAGCAAGUUCUAUCCAUAGAUUCACAAAGGGUUGGAACAUCUUGGGUAGCAUCGACAUCUGAAGGCGGAAGUCCAUCAGGAAUGGCUUUAAAUUGGAAAUCAGGGAAUCCGUUGAGGGCAUCAGGACCUCUGGAUUUAAGCAAGCGCCUGUGGUUGAAUUCAGUGUUGACAAAGGUGAUGUGGAAACCAUUGUGAUGGAGGAGCUUGGCUAGGUUCAGCAUGGGGCCUAUGUGGCCUUGGGCUGCAGCUGGUACGCAGACUGCAUGAGGCUUCUUCUCUAAUGGAGCAAUGGAACCCAUUCAGUUCUUCUUGCAGGGGAAUUUGAACAGAUUAAAUGGAAAUUGUCAAUGGGAUUUAUGAGGCUUUGGGAUUGGAACGAUUGCAAAGUUGAUGAAAAGGUAGCUUCAUUUAUAUAGACGGAGUCGAUCAGUGGCAAAGUACUGCUGCAGUAAUAUUUUUCGGGCUGGGUCUACGGUCUACCGGGGAAUAGUCUUCCGCAGUGGCUUUCAAAAUAAUGAGGCUGUCAAUCUCAUAAAGUGAAAGGUUAACAUCUGUUAAUAGUCAUUAGUCUAUUGCUAGGAACACUUCUUUCGUAGUCCAAAGGAUUAAAAUAAUUGCUUGGAGUUCUUCAUUUUUUUCAUCUACGUACUCAAGAAACGUCUGAGUAAGUUGGAACAAAACAAAAUGGUGAAUACAAUACAUAUAAUAAAGAAAAAAAUGACACUUGUGAUCUACGUGCUUGCGUAUUUAUCACCAACACUAGGAGGUUACCUCCAAUUCAAGAAAUCAAAGUUAGACUUCUUUAUCGUCCCAAAAAGGGGUUCAAUAAUAAAAUAGAAGAAAAAAGCUGUGAAUUCUCUAUCAUUAGACAUUUUUGGCAUUUGAAAACGCCACGCUUCUGAUUUUCUUGAAUUAAAUUAAGCGGAGGGCUGGAUUAUGGGGGAAUCAAACCCAUUCCUUAGAGUUUAGCCAGGAUGACCUUUUCUAAUCCCCUACCAAUUGAUUUAGUCAACUAUAGUUUUAUAUUUUUUCUUAAAUCCAUUUGAUUUUCCAUCAUGUCUAUUCAUUUUUCUCUUCUUGGAUUAGUCCGUGGCAAUUUGAGGUUUAGAUACAUGCACUCCUUUAUUUUUUGUAUGUACAACUUGUGAGGGGAAUGACGUGAACCCUUCACGAUUACUCAGAGGCCAUAGCUGAUAAUUUGGUAGGACCACGGUGCGGCCCUCCACCGUUGAGGAGGCAUAUUCAGCUACCAUUAGUUUGCCCACGUCGGCGAGUUAAUUGAUAGACGAAGAAAUACUCUUUAUUCUGGGCAAUGGCGAAGACACAAUUUUAUCGCAACGGAUCUUCUGUUCACAUCUUGUGUCACUUUCUAUUCCAUUUUUUAUUAUAUUGCUGUUUCUCCUACAUAAAAAUUAUGUUUUAGUUCUUUUUUGUUUCCUAAAAAUCCAAUAACUAUUAAUUGAGUAAUAUACAAAAUUUAACAAAUUCAAAAUAUCAAAAUGCAUAAAAAAUGAGAUUUUUUAAUGAAUUUGCUGUAUUUUAAAUUUUCUAUUAUAUAUUGUUUUUUGAAGGUUUUGUAUUUAUUUUUUACUUAAUUAAUAGUUAUUGGAUCUUUAGGAAACAAAAAGGAACUAAAACAUGAUGUUUAUAUUGGAGAAAUAGCAAUAUAAUAAAAAGUGGCACAGAGAGUGGCACAGAGUAUGAAACAGAAGAUCCGUUGCGAAUUGCGCAAUGGAUCUUCUGUUUCAUACUCUGUGCCACUCUCUGUGCCACUUUUUAUUAUAUUGCUAUUUCUCCAACAUAAACAUUAUGUUUUAGUUCCUUUUUGUAUAUACAAAACCUUCAAAAAACAAUAUAUAAUAGAAAAUUUAAAAUACAGCAGAAAAUUCAUAAAAAAAAUCUCAUUUUUUAUGCAUUUUGAUAUUUUGAAUUUGUUAAAUUUUGUAUAUUACUCAAUUAAUAGUUAUUUGAUUUUUAGGAAACAAAAAAGAGCUAAAACAUGAUUUUUAUGUAGGAGAAAUAGCAAUAUAAUAAAAAGUGGCACAGAGAGUGGCACAGAGUAUGAAACAGAAGAUCCAUUGCGCAAUUCUAGUAUCUUGACAGGUGAGGAUUAUUUUGACAAAAAAAAAAAAAAGACAGGUGAAGAUUAAACUAUUUCAACUUUUGGUUUCGCCGGCUUAGGCAAAUAGUUAAAUCCAACAGUCACGUUAGAAAUCCUAACAAAAGAAGAGAUCAGAAAGAAAGCAUGCCAAGUCCACCAAUAUGCAACAAGUGGUCUACGUAAAUUUCUCAUCAAUUGCUUAAUUACGAGAAAAGUACUCCAAUUCUUGUAGUUUUGUAUAGUUGUUGCAAGUGAAAUUCUUUUUUUUUUGGCGGGAUAACUAAGAAAGUGAUUAAUUCCAACUUCAAAGAGGUUACUUAUGUUAACAAUUAGUAUACGACUUGAGGAAGGAAUAUGCAAUUUAUGAAAAUACAGGGUUUCAGAUUCAGCAUAUAAGAUGCAUUUGAUAAUAAAAAAUAGCACAUCUGAAUAAAUGACACUGAAUCUCUUAAGCAAACUUGCUGCAAAAGUGAGAAGUUAUUCAGUUACCAAUUGAUGUGAUAUACAAUCAAAUAUAUCAUAUUAAUAUUUAAUAAUUUAGUAAUAUAAUAUAUUAAAAUUUCAAAUUUUAGUUUGCAAAUUUUAGUUUUAUCAAACGUGUUCACAAUUGAAUUAUUGUGCAAUUCAAAGCACAAGAAACCACCAAGAAGAUUUUCAUCAAAUUAAACUCUUUCUAAAUGUUCGUACUACCUCCUGCUUCUCUAUAUGUUGUUCAAAACAUGUGGAUUGAAUUAUUUAAUUAAAUUAAAUUAGACAAAUUUUCAAUUCAAUAACUCCAUGAGAGUCUUAUGUUUGCCCUUUUUUUUUAUUUUUUGUUUCAAUUUUUUAAGGUUGAGCCUUAUUCUAUUACAGCAUAAGCAUAAAAAAAGUUUACAAAGAGAAAUAUCUAACCAACUUAGCUAACUUAAUUGGCCAUUAGAGUCCCCUACUAUAGGACCAUUAUUUGAAAAGAAAAAAAGAAAUAUCUCAAAGCAGUGAAAAAAAGAGGAAUAUCUCAAUACAAUGCACAAGCCUGUUCGAGCAACUCAAAGCUGCAAUCAGAACUCAACACUCAAAAGAGGAAAGAAAACGGCUAAAUAAUACACAGACCAAAAAAACCUAUACAGAGGAAAAAGCCGAUUAAAAUCCCAUGCAGUACGAUAUCAAACCAAUUAGCCUUCGUUCUGCUAAUUCCUCUCCUUAAAGCAAUAGAAGAUUUAAAAUGAAUUUGCACAUUUUUAACUCCAAGUAAACUGACAUAGGCCGUCGUUUCACAAAAAUUUACCUUGUAAAGAAUUGGAGUUCGAUUCAAUUACAUUUUCAACCAAACUACCAACAAAGAAAUAAAUGCAAAAAGGACCGAAGAAACAUUACAGCGAUGCGCUCAAUACAAGGCCAACAAUAUCUGUAUCUGUUGGAAAAAUGGCUAUAUCCAUUGUAGAGUGAAUGAGAAAAUUGUUCUCAUAAUGGCACUCUUGAAAGAAUCCAAGGAUAAUUAUCUAUCAUUCAUAGGAUUCAUGUAUAUUAAUUAUUGAUACAUGAUUUUGGAUAGGAUUCAUGUACUUAGUACAUGAUUUUGGAGUUAUCUUAUUGAGAUACAUGUAUGUACAUGAAUGUAGUACUUUGAUAAACGCGAAGAUAAUUAUCUGAAAUUUAACACUUGUUGCCAAUUGCUAACAGUCACCCUUGGUCAGCAUCUAUAAAUAUCUCUCUUUUGUUUAAAAAACGGAGGCUCUCUCUAUUUUUCCUUCUUGCAUCUUCAUCUUUUAUAGUAUUCUAUAUUGCUCCAGUUCGAGUUCGCUGUGGUGAAGAAAGUUUGGUGCUGACAUAUUCACCUUUAAUCCGUUGUAUCCUGGGAGACAGAUGCCUACUUAACCUCGAGCACUCUACCUGGAGAGGGCGAAUCUGUUUUAAGGAAAUUGUGCUCACAAGUCUCGGAUUGUUAUUAUUGUUAUUUUCGAUCAUUUCUUUCUUUCUAGGUUGUAUUUAUUCUUCUCUAUAGUGUAUCAGCCUAUUUUUAUUAUUUCACUAAUAGUCUUAAAACAGAUUCAUUCUCAAUGGCUGACAUUCCAGGAAGAGAAACCAACAAAUCUACUUUUGAUGCCUCUGCCUCUGGCACAAUUGUGAAACAACCUGAAGGAAAGAUUACUCCUUUGGUUUCUACCAACCAUAGUGAGAAAUCUGAGAAAUUCCAUGGCUUGAACUUCAAGACAUGGCAACAAAAGAUGUUGUUCUAUUUGACAACAUUGAAUCUCUCGAGAUUCUUAAGUGAGGAUGCUCCAAAGCUGCCUGAAGGCUUAACUGAUGCACAAGCUGUCAGUGCUAUUGAUGCUUGGAAGCACUCCGAUUUCCUUUGUCAAAAUUAUGUCAUGAACUGCUUGCAUGACUCGCUGUAUAACGUGUAUCAAAUACACAAGACGGCAAAGGCAUUAUGGGAAUCCUUAGAUCGGAAAUAUAAAAUCGAAGAUGCCGGGGCAAAGAAAUUUGUCGUUGGAAAAUUUCUAGACUAUAAAAUGGUGGAUUCCAAGACUGUUAUCAGUCAAGUGCAAGAAAUUCGGAUUAUCUUGCAUGAGAUUCUAGCUGAAGGCAUGAUUUUGAGUGAAACCUUUCAAGUAGCUGCUGUUAUUAAGAAGCUACCUCCUGGGUGGAAGGAUUUCAAGAACUAUCUCAAGCACAAGCGUAAAGAGAUGAGUAUGGAGGACCUUAUCGUUAGACUUCGAAUUGAAGAAGACAACAGGGGUUCUGAUUGCAAGGCAACAACUUUUGUUGAUGCUAAAGCAAAUAUUGUGGAGUAUAAGUAAGAGCAAAACUCCAAACGUAAAAAGCCAAAUUGAAAUCUUAGGGCAAAAGGGAAAAUCUCUAAGCAGAAAUUCCAAGGAAAGUGCUUCAACUGUGACAAAAAAGGUCCCAAGUCCACUGAAUGUAAGCUUCCAAAGAAGAAGAAGCAUGAAGCGAACUUGCUUGAUAAAAUCGACGGAGAUAUGGAAAACAUGAACCUGACUGCUAUGGUUUCUGAAGUAAAUAUGAUAGGGUCAAAUCCGAAAGAAUGGUGGAUUGACACUGGAGUUACAAGACAUGUUUGCACAAACAAAUACCUGUUCACUACCUUCGAAAAAAUUGAAGGUGAAAAAAUGUUCAUGGGGAAGGUCAAGGAAAGGUGUUGCUAAAGAUGACUUCUGGCAAAACAUUGACUUUGAACGAUGUUCUGUAUGUGCCAGAAAUCCGCAAGAACCUUGUUUCUGGAUCAUUGCUGAACAAGCAUGGCUUUCGCAUGGUUUUUGAAUUGGAUAAAGUUAUAUUAUCCAAAUCUGGGAUGUAUGUAGGGAAAGGAUAUACAACCGAUGGGUUGUUCAAAUUGAAUGUAAUGACUAUUGUAAAUAAUAAGAAUAAAUCUUCUGCUUAUUUGCUUGAAUCUUCCAAUUUAUGGCAUGGUAGACUAGGUCAUGUUAAUUAUGAUACUUUGCGUAGACUAAUUAACUUGGAUCAUAUUCAUUCCUUUCACAUCAAUUCAAACCAUAAAUGCGAGAUUUGCGUAGAAGCAAAAUUAACAAGGUCAUCGUUUCAAACAAUUGAAAGAAACACCGAACCUCUUGAAUUGAUUCACACAGAUGUCUGUGAUUUGAAAUUUGUUCAAACAAGAUGUGGUAAUAAAUAUUUUAUCACUUUCAUUGAUGAUUGCACAAAAUACUGUUAUGUGUAUUUGCUCAAAAGUAAAGAUGAAACCUUGGAAAAAUUCAUUCUCUACAAGAAUGAAGUUGAAAAUCAACUUAACCGGAGAAUUAAAAGGUUAAGAAGUGAUAGAGGUGGUGAAUAUGAAACACCUAUUGGUGAUUAUUGUGCAAAAUAUGGAAUUGUUUAUGAAGUAACUGCACCUUACUCACCACAAUCGAAUGGUGUUGCUGAACGGAAAAAUUGCACACUAAAGGAAGUGAUGAAUGCGAUGUUACUAAGUUCAGGAUUGCCUCAAAAUAUGUGGGGUGAAGCUAUUUUGUCAAAUAAUUACCUUUUAAAUAGGGUACCCCGAAAAAAAUAAGAUAAAACUCCUUAUGAGUUAUGGAAAGGUAGGAGACCAUCCUAUAAAUACUUGAAAGUGUGGGGGUAUCUUGCAAAAGUGGCUAUUCUAGCACCAAAGAGAAUAAAGAUAGGUCCUAGAACUGUGGACUGUAUCCUUAUUGGCUAUGCACAUAAUAGUGCUGCUUAUCGGUUUCUUGUGUAUAAUUCAGAAAUUUCGGAUAUACAUAAAAGUAUGAUAAUGGAAUCAAGAAAUACUUCAUUCUUUGAAGAUGUGUUUCCUUGUAAAUCGAAUGGUGCAUCAAGUUCAUCAAAGCAAACACAUGAAGUUAUGAGUCAAGAAAAACAUAAUCAUGACUUGAUUCAACAAGAUGAACCGAGACGUAGCAAAAGAGCUAGAGUGAAAAAAUCAUUUGGAGAUUAUUUCACAACUUUUCUAUUAGAAAAGGAACCACAAACCUAUACAGAAGCUGUAAGUUCUUCUGAAGGAUUUUUGUGGAAAAAAGCAAUAAAAAGUGAGGUUGAUUCUAUUUUACAGAAUCAUACAUGCGAGUUAGUGGAUCUUCCUCCUGGUUGUAGACCUUUAGGGUCCAAAUGGAUCUUUAAAAGGAAAAUGAAACCUGAUGGCUCUGUCGAUAAGUACAAAGCCAGACUUGUAAUCAAAGGAUACAAACAACAAGAAGGUUUGGAUUAUUUUGAUACUUAUUCUCCUGUUACGAGAAUAAAUGCUAUCAGAAUGAUUCUUGCUAUCGCUGCAUUGAGAAAUCUAGAGAUACAUCAAAUGGAUAUAAAGGCGGCUUUCUUAAAUGGUGAUUUAGAUGAAGAAAUCUUCAUGGAGCAACCUGAGGGUUUCAUAACUCCGGGAAAAGGAAAUAAAGUUUGUAAAUUAGUAAAAUCAUUGUAUGGACUAAAACAAGCGCCAAAAAAAUGGCAUGAAAAGUUCGACAAUGCAAUGAUAACUAAUGGAUACAAAAUAAAUGAGUGUGACAAAUGUGUCUAUACUAAAGAAACAGAACAUGGUUAUGUCAUCUUAUGUCUUUAUGUAGAUGACAUACUUAUUGUUGGUAGUAAUGAUAAAAUGGUCAAGUCUACCAAGGACAUGUUGAAUUCAAAAUUUGACAUGAAAGAUAUGGGGCUUGCUGAUGUAAUUUUAGGAGUUAAAAUUACAAGAAUACCAGACGGCUUGGUCUUGAGCCAAACUCACUAUGUGGACAAGAUUCUAGAAAAAUUCAAUAAGAAUGAUUCUGAAAUUGCAAGAACUCCAUUAGACAAUAGUUUCCAUCUAUCUAAGAAUAGAGGAGAGAAUAUUUCUCAAGUAGAAUACUCACGAAUCAUUGGAAGUCUAAUGUAUUUAAUGAGUUGUAUUAGACCUGACAUUGCAUAUGCAGUAAGCAAAUUGAGUAGGUUUACAAGCAAUCCGAGUGCUGAUCAUUGGAAAGUAAUUUCAAGGGUACUUAAAUACCUACGGUACACUCGAAACUAUGGACUGCAUUACACUAGAUACUCUGCUGUUUUAGAAGGGUAUGCUGAUGCAAAUUGGAUAUCUGAUUUAAAAGAUUCAAAAUCCACAAGUGGGUAUGUGUUCACACUUGCCGGUGGGGCAGUAUCUUGGAAGUCUUCUAAACAAACUAUUGUAGCUAGAUCUACAAUGGAAUAUGAGUUCAUUGCCUUGGACAAAUAUGGAGAAGAAGCUGAAUAGCUACACCAUUUCCUUGAAGACAUUCCAAAAUGGGAAAAACCUUAGCAUAGUCAUUGUGGGAGGAUAUCCCUAGACCCAUUCCAUAAUGAAACAAUGACGCAAAUGAGAAUUAAGGAUAGCACAAUGGUAUGCUUUAAUGAUUCUUAAGUGAAGUAAUUAAUUACUGAAGACUUAAGUAAAUCACCUAUGUGAGAGUGAAGUGGGGCCGCUUCAAAAGAGAAUUGUUUAGGGCUCAAUUCUUAAAAACUCUUGCUGAACUAGGUUGAUGUUCAUGGGCAAAAUGAGCAUAACUAUGAGAACUGAACAAAUUGAGCAUGAUUCCUGUGUGAAAUAUAUGGUCCAUUUACACUAAAAAGCGGGACAGUUCAAAGACAUCAUGUCUACUGAAUUGCUAAUAAAGUAAGUGUAUUUCACAAGAGAAGGUUCAACGGGUAACACCAACCUAUCUUAUGCAGGUUUCAGUCGUGGAACACUACUGUAGAGUCAAAUCAAAACAAUUUUUCCAUUCAUGUGGGGGAUUGUUGGAAAAAUGGCUAUAUCCAUUAUAGAGUGAAUGAGAAAAUUGUUCUCAUAAUGGCACUCUUGAAAGAAUCCAAGAAUAAUUAUCUAUCAUUCAUAGGAUUCAUGUAUAUUAAUUAUUGAUACAUGAUUUUGGAUAGGAUUCAUGUACUUAAUACAUGAUUUUGGAGUUAUCUUAUUGAGAUACAUGUAUGUACAUGAAUGUGGUACUUUGAUAAACGUGAAGAUAAUUAUCUGAAAUUUAACACUUGUUGUCAAUUUCUAACAGUCAUCAUUGGCCAGCAUCUAUAAAUAUCUCUCUUUUGUUUCAAAAACGGAGGCUCUCUCUAUUUUUCAUUCUAGCAUCUUCAUCUUUUAUAAUGUUCCAUAUUGCUCUAGUUCGAGUUCGCUGUGGUGAAAAAAGUUUGGUGCUGACAUAUUCACCUUUAAUCCGUUGUAUCUUGGGAGACAGACUCCUACUUAAUCUCAAGCACUCUACCUGGAGGGAGAGAAUAAAAUUGUACUCACAAGUCUCGGAUUGUUAUUAUUGUUAUUUUCGAUCAUUUCUUUCUUUCUAGGUUGUAUUUAUUCUUCUCUAUAGUGUAUCAGCCUAUUUUUAUUAUUUCACUAACAGUAUCCAAGUCUCAAAUUCAAUAAGCUAAGCAUGAGAAUAAUUUGGAUACAUUCACUUUAACGUGUCUAGUGUCUUGGAUUGAAAAGCACUUGAUUGAUCACAUUCUCAAGAUUGAAGUAAACCUGUUGCGUAGCUGCUUCCACCAAUCUUUUCCACUUCAAGGCCUUUCUCUUCAUCUUCUUGCCUUUUUCUCCUACCAUUAACUCUGUAACAUGCCUUUCAACAUCAUCCCUCUUAACAUUAUUGUCUAUCUCCAAUCCAAUGCCCCAUUUUGUGCAGCAAAAUCAGCAAUAAGUUUGUUGGUCAGCGAAAAAAGGCCAACAGAUCAUCGGCAGCCCAUAGCUAAUGUUUUCAAUCGUGGAAUUCCAUCCAAUAUGAGUUAAGAAUCCUCCGACAAAAGGGUACUUAAGAACUUUCUCUCUAGAGCACCAACUUGCAAACAUGUUGGGAUUCAAGUGCGGAACAAAUAACUAUUGAAAUAUCAAGACACAAUAAUUCAAUGACAAAUGAACCACAAAUAUGAAAGAUAACGACAUACAAUAUUUAACAUAAUCGACUCUAUCGUUGAACUUACGUCCAUAGAGAGAACACUUAUUCUUUAUUAUGAGAGGAAAACUCUAUACAAGAAUAUAAUUUGAACCCAAUCUCAACCCUUAUGUACUAUCUCUCAUCUCUCAAUAACCCUCUCUCAUCCUAUGUUUAAGGCUACAUGUCGUUCUUGUGUGCCCAUUGUGCAUCAAUAUCUAAUAUGUUAAUCCACCUAUUUAUAAAAAAAAUAUUAUUUAGCCAAAAAUCAAAUAAUAACAGAAAAUCAAUACUAAUUCCUAAAUUUGUACAAAAUAGAAAAUAACUUCUAAAUUCUAAACAAAAUAGAAAAUUUCUUGACUACUACUUUAAGUAACUAAAAUCAAUUAGAAAACUAGUUACUUCCACAUAAAUUAAGAAACUCACCUAAAAAAAUUAAUCAAUUUCCUACAAAUCUGCACUUCGUACGAUAUUUCUUUUAAAAACCAUUUGCCUUCAAUUAUCAAAUACACAUCCGAAUCAAUACAGUCUUGACAUUCAAUUGAUUCAAUCAACAUAUGAAUAAGUGUAGUUACUCUAAAUCCAACAUCCUGUUGACUCGUGAGAAGGUGUCUCAAUUUACCAUCUCUCUUCGUAGGAUUUUUUCUCACCACCACUUGCAAUUCGAAAUCUCCUUCUGUGAGUUAUAUUUCUAACCGUUGAGACAAUCAAACAGUAAAAUCACCAUACUUCUUCUUAUUCUCAGAACUGUCUUGCCAGGUGUGGUUUUCAAUACUCCACCUAUUAUAUAAAACUCGUAGCUAUCAGAGUUUUCUUGUGUUGAAAAUUAGAUCCCUUCGUUUCUUUAGAACACAUGUCAUGCCACUUAAAGAACAUAAUCCAAAUAAAAAAAUCAUCUGGAAUAAAAUAUCAACUGUUAGAAUUGCGAGAACAUCUCCACUGGUUCAUGUCCAAAAUUAAUAUUGGACUUCACAUUUUUCUUGACUCUUGAAUCACCUGACUAAAUUCACCAUCAAAUGUUUUCAUGUUUUUCGACUUUUCAUUUUUCACCCCAAUGCUUUUUGUCAAACCCUUGAAACAAAGAUAUCAUUCAUUAAAUUCUUCAGUUGGCAACCAACACUAAUAUAUUUGAUCUCAAUAAUCAACCAGGAUCCAACCAUAAACCCCGCUUUGAUACCAAUUUGUUAAGAUUCAAGUGUUUGUGAGCAACCCAAUCUCACAAUCAAACUCUGAUACCACUUGUUGAGAUCCAAACGCGGAACAAACAACAAUUUAGUGAUAAAUAAGUCAUAAGUAUGAAAGAUAAACGGCAUGCAAUAUCUAACGUGGUUCGAUUCAUCAUUAAACCUAUAUCCACAGAGAGAAUAUCCAUUCUUUAUUAUGAGAGAAAAAUCCUAUAUAAGAAUACAAUUUAAAUCCAAAUCCAACCCUUAUAUACCAUCUCUCGUCUUCCAAGAAUCUUUUCUCAUCCUAUGUAUAAGGUUACAUGUCAUCAUUAUAUGUUCAUUAUGUGUCACUUUAUAGUAUGCUAACUCACCUAUUAAUACAGAAUAUUAUUGAGCCAAAAACCAAAUAAUAACAGGAAACCAAUACUAAUUCUUAAACUUGUACAGAAUAGGAAAUGACUUCUAAAUUCUAAACAAACUAGGAAUUUCCUUGCCUACUGCUUUAAGUAAUCAAAACUAGUUAGAAAAUUAAUUACUUCCAUACAAAUUAAGAAACCUAUCUAAAACAAAUUAAACCAAUUUUCUAACAAAAAACAUGCAUCUUUCCUUGGUUUCUUCAAGAAACUAACUCGGAAGAAUAGCUAAAUCGCCUGAAACAAGAUCAGGCCUUGAAAUCCAUAAAAAGUUUUGUUUACUAUUAGCAAGUCCCAUGCAAAUUCGACUAGUUGCUCAGGUGUCAUAAUAGCAAUGCUUCCAAAGUUGACAUAAACCAUCGAGUUUGGAUCUUUCGAAUCAGACAUUCAGGUUCUUCUUUCCAAAGAUUUGAUCCAAUUUCUUUCAAAUUCUUAUCCUUAACUUGAUUAUCGAGGAUGUUUAGCGGCCUAAUGGGAUAAAUCGGAGGAAGAUAAGAUGAAAGUGCAUGUAAUAGAUGCUGUUCCAGUUGUUGAAAGGUAUUUAUAAUGAUGGCACAAGCCUCUCGAGCUCUCCCAGUUUCUUGCAUGAUGUAUUUUAGCAUAAAUUCAUCUGGAUUUGUGGCUCUUAAGAAACUUAGAAGAUCCUUCAAACUUGUACCUUCUAAUCUUGGAAUCCAAUCUAGAACAAUGUCUAGAUAUCCAUUUGUCAGGUAACUAGCAUCUGCAAGCCACAAAUGUUUUACAACCAAAACAUCCGAAUCAUAGAACUUGCAAGGAGAAAGGGAUUGGACCCACUCAAAGUUAAAAUGUAAACAUCUCGCACUCUAUUAUUACAUGAAAUGAAAUUUUUUGCCCACAAAAGUCAAUGUUUUGCUUCCACCAAUGAGUAGAAUGCAGUGAACCACGCAAGAAUAUUGUUGUCAAAUGAGUCAAGAGUACUUUAGAAAGAAGCAGUAACUGUUCAAGCUAUUUCUUUCCUUUUUUUUUUUUAAUUCCAGAAAUACAUGGAAGAAGAAAAUAAAUGACCUCGAAAAAUUUUGAACUAACAAUUUUUUAUCAAAAAUUAGUCGUACCUUUGACUGGUAUGAUACCCUUUUCGAUAAACUUGGCAAACUGGAAAUACGCCAAAUAGGAAGAUGCGCGGGCUGUCCAAAGAAGAACUUCAGGGAUGCAAGAAACUAUUCAAGAAACUAUUCAGCAGCUGCUAGAGUGAAUGUCAUUGCUCCAUCGGAAACUAUGCAAGAAACCGGGGGCACUCUGGGGAAGAGGUAUAAUUGAGUGUAGCGAGUAGCUCCCUAAAUGAACCUAAGCAAUUUCUAUUAAUAGAUUCACAAAAGGUUGGAAUAUCUUGGGUAGCAUCGACAUCAGAAGGAAGAAGUCCGUCAGGAAUGGCUUUAAAUUGGAAAUCAGGCAAUCCAUUGAGGGCAUCACGACCUCUAGAUUUUAGUAAGCGCCUGCGGUUGAAUUCUGUGUUGACAAAGGUAAUAUGAAAACCGUUUUGGUGGAGGAGCUUGGCUAGCUUUAGCAUGGGUUUAAUGUGGCCCUGAGCUGGAGCUAUUAUGUAGGCGGCAUGAGGCUUUUUCUCCAAAAGAGCAAUGGAAACCAUUCUUCUUGCCGGGGGAUUUGAGUGGACAAAUUGUAAGUUAUUACAGAGCAGCCACGAGUUGGGAAUUGGGUUGAUGGCAAAGGAAAAGACACGUUAUUACAGAGCAGUCACAAGUUAGGAAUUGGGGUGAUGGCAAAGAAAAAACCAAAGAAGAGGCUAUGCAAAUAUAUUGAAAGGGCCGAUCUAUUCCUCAACUUGUAACAUAAUGUUUCACCAAGUGGUCCUCAAAAAUAAUCUUCAGCGCAUGACAGGUUCUGUCAAUUUUUUAAAGCAAAUUGACAGAUUUUAACCAUCGAUGCUGUGAUUUCUUUUCAAUUAUCUGUCCAAAAUUAAAGUAUAAAACGCUGGAAGUUCUUCAUUUCUUCGUCCACUGGACAAAUCUUUCGUGAAGGCGGUAACAAAAAGGUGUAAUAGAUAUGUAGCAGAAGCUGAGGUGGCAUUUGUAAGACGGUUAUCGAAUGGAGAAUUGGAAUAAAUCCCAUAAUUAUUAUUUGGAUUACUCCUAUGAAAAUCGAAAUUUUGGAAUCAUAUCUAAAAAUUUAGAAUUUCUCGAGUCGCUAAUAACUUGGAGGGUUUUGGAUAAACCCCAAGUCUGAUUCCCAUUUAAAAAUGGGGCCUGUCUCGCCACCCAUUAAAAAAUUAAUAUAUAAUUAUAUACAUACAUAUAUAAUUAUGUAUAUAAUAUAUAUUAUAAUUAUAUAUUUUGUUAUAAUAUUAGUAUAAUUAUAUAAUAUAUUUAUAAUUAUAAUAUACACAUAUAUUAUAUAUUACAAAAAUAUAUAUUAUAAUUAUUUAAUUAAAUAUAAUUAUAUUUAUAUAAUAUAUAUUAUAAAUUUGUUAAUAUUAUAUAAUAAUACUUAUAUUAUUUAUAUAUAUUUAUAAAUGUAUUUAUAUGUGCAUAUAAUUAUACUAUAUACGUGUAUAUAAUAAUAUAUUAAAUAAUUAUAAUUAAAUUUAUUAUUAUAAAUAUAAUAAUAUAUACAAAAAUUUAUAAUUAAUAUAUAAUAUACUUUAUAAUUAUAUAUUAGUAUAAUUAAUAUUUACAUAUAUUUUAUAAUUAUAAUUAUAUAUUUUAUUAUAAUAUUAGUUAAUUAUAUAAUGUUUUAUAUAAAUAUAUAAUAUAAUUAUUUAAUUAAACAUAAUUAUAUUGAUACAAUAUGUUAUCAAUUUAUUAAUAUUGUAUAAUAAUAUAUUUAUUUUAUAUAUGUAUAUUUAUAAAUAUAUAUUAUAUGUGCAUAUAAUUAAAAUAUAUAUGUGUAUAUAAUAUUAACAAAUUAUAUAAUUAUAUUUAUAUUUAUUAUUAUGAAUAUAAUAAUAUAUAAUAAUUUUUAUAUUUAAUAUAUAAUAAACAUUAUAAUUAUAUAAAAUAUUAUUAUAAUUAAUAUUUAUAUGUAUUAUAUAAUUAUAAUUAUAUAUUUAUCUUAUAACAUUUGUAUAAUUAUAUUUAAUUAUAUAUAUAAUAUUUUAUUUAAUUAGUGAAAAUUUCUUAUAUCCCAUUUACAAAGAGCCAGCGAAUCAAACAUCAACUAUAGUAAUAAUAUACAAUCCUAGUACUGAAUUAAAUAGAUGUAUUGGAAUGAUUGACUCCAUUCUAAAUCCAUGAUGAAUGAUUCUAAAUUCGAAUCCAAUUCCAACAUGCAAACCAAACGCCACCUGAAUUUUUUUGAGCUCAAUGCUUGCGUAUUUAUUGUGGGAAAAAGAGAGCUCAUUACUCAAGUUGUUUGAUCAAAUUCCACAUGGAAUAGGGGAGCUCAUUGCUCGAGUCGUUACCAAUGCCAGAGCUUGCCCGAAAUUCCAGAAUUAAUGCUCAAAAGAUACUUUGUCCAAACAAAAUAAAUAAAUAAAAUACUGGAAAUUCUCUACCACAAGGCAUUUCUGGCCUUAGGAAGCUAUAUAUGUCUGAUUUUUUUAAAAUUAAAUUAAGAGGAGGGACCAGUAGGUUGAGCAGAAUUAAACUCGUUCAUUUCUAGAGUUAAGACACAAUAUGCUUUUCUAACCAAUAGUUAAUGAAUUUUUCUAAUGAAUAUCCAAUUGAUACUCAUUAGUACACUUAGAGUCUUAGAUCAUACCCAACUUAUCAUAUGAAUUCAAACUAACAAUUAUUAUUCUAUUUUAUAUUUAUAUAUUUUUCUUAAUUAACAUUAUUUUUUCAAAAUGUGAACACCUUCCUAGAUAGACCCAUGAUUAAUUAUUUGUUUCUCCACCAAAGUCCUUUUUGUUUGUCGGGUUGGUUGUACUUUUUGUGUGAAUAGGAUGGACAUAGACGGUUGUGGCCCAACCGACAUAUGGCCGUCCCUUGGCCAGCAAUGCAAAAUCUGUAAAUGUUAGGUUUAGACAAUAAGUUAUAGUAAAUGUUAUGUUUAGACAAUAAUUAUUUGGAAAAAAAAAUAAGUGAUAGUAAUAAAACUCAAGAAAUGUGAGUGUAAUUUUUAAAAUUUGAACAAAAGUCAGUGAAAUAGUCAAAAACCUCUUAAGAGGUUUCUAAAAUUAUCUCAAUUAAUUUUUUAUAACGGGGAAAAGUAGACACCAAUUCCCAGUGCGACCAAUUUUGGGAGCCCAUGAAAACCGUAGUAAAUCAUGCUUGGAGGAUUUGUGCACUCAAGGUAAAGGCGUGAAGUUUCUGACAACGUUCGUAAUGCACCUUAAUGUACUCAAGGUAAAGGGUUUUGUAGAACGCACAUAAUAAAUAGAAGCAUUUCUUAAAAAAUAUUUUAAAAACUCUGCUACUCUUAAAUAUCUCAAAAUAUAUUCUAAAAAAAUACUUUAAAAAUUCUGCUACAGUAAAAUUUUUCAAAAUCACUCCAAAAACAGCUAAUUCGAACGGAGGCAUAGAAAAGGCCUAUCUAUUCCACAACGUGUAACAUAAUGUUUCACAUGGCAGCUCCUGUCAAUUAUUUAAAACAAAUUUUACAUAUUAUGUUUCACCAAGUGGUCUCAAGAAUAAUCUUCCGUACAUUGUAGGUUCUGUCAAUUUUUUAAGGGAUAAUUUUGUGGUUUCUAACUAUUUCACUAGCUUUCCUCCAAAUUUCAAAAAUUAUAUUAACUUCCCUUGAGGUUAAUUAUCUUAUAACAUUUAGGUCAAACUAAUAAUUAAAAAGUGAUAUUAGGAGAGAGAAGAUAACAUAGUUCAAUCAAUGUCGUUCAUCUAUUACAUUAUUUAAUUAAUUUAAUAUCAACUCACAUAUUAAAAAAAAUUACUCAAAUUUGUUGUUUAUCAUUAGGAAUCAAAUUAUAUAUACCAUCAAAAAAUAGUAUAUCAUUUUAUAUUUUUCACUCGAUACAAGGACUAAAUUACUCUUUUUAAUUACAUAUCCAUUGUCAAAUGUGAUCAACAACAAAUAAUAAAAAAAAUUGCAAAUUAAAAUAUUAUAGAGAACAAAUUUUAACAUCAUAAAUAUUCUUGUCAGCAUAUUAAGAUUGGUUAUUGAGAUUUUAUUGUAUUAAAGUUCACUCCUUAUAAUAUUUUAGUUGCAAAUUUUUUUGAUUAUUUGUUAUUGAUCAUGCUUGAUAGUGGAUUCGUAAUUAAAAAGAGUAAUUUGAAUCUUACAUUAAGUGAUAUAUAAAAUGAUAUACUAUUUUUGAUAUCAUAUAUGAUUUUAAAUCCUGAUGAUAAACAGCAAAUCUAGUGUUUUCUUUAAUAUUUGGGUUGGUAUCAGAUUAAAUAAACAAUUUAGUAGACGAGAGAUAAUGGUGAAAUCAUAUUAAUAUCUUCUCUCUCCUAAUAUCAUUUUUAAUUGUUGAUUCGACCUAAAUAUUGCAAAAUAAUAAAUCUCAAGUAAGAGGUUUUUGAAAUUGUCCCCAAUAUUAACCCACCAUUCACACAACUUCCAUCUCUACAGAGGUGCUCAUCGAGCUGUGGUAGGGGCUAGUGGGUAUACAGACCCAACUAGACCAAGAGAGUAUUAUGGCACAACUCUUAGAUUUUUUUUGCUACAGGUGAGAGGUCCAAGGAGGGACUUGCCCACUGAGCCAUUGGCUAAUUAUUUUGCUCUUUCUUCAAAUCAAUUUUAUGCACUUUAUGAUUUCAUUAUCUAACUUGGCCACACAAGUUUAGACUUCUCAGCUGCUACAAAUGUUUUUCGGAUUGAAUUGGCGUGAUGUUAGAUUGAAUACCUGGGGUUUCCCCUGUGGAAACCUUUAUGGUGGGAAGGGCAUUGACCGUUCCUACCAUAGAUAGAGGAGCAGAGCAUGACACGUAUAUUUGAAAAUAAAGGUGCUAACGGACCGAUUAUGUUGUAGUCCUAAAGCACGUGGAGAAGGUCAGCCAUAUAGAAACAUUAUAUGUGAUUUGGUAUAUUUUAAUACUCUACCAUUUUCAAAACAUUGAUCAAACAUGAUCAGUUCAAUUUCUUUCAUUUUCUCCAAAAACUCUCCUUUUUUCUUCUUGUAUCUUUUUCAUUUUCAAUACAUCAGUUUGGACCAAAAAAAUAAAAUAAAAUUGAAAAUAUGUAAAAGAUUCAUAAAUUAACUCAAAAACACUUUAUAGACUACCCAAAAUAUUAUUUUUGUAACUUGUAAAAACUUCAAAUAAACAUUCAAAUACUAACUAUUGGUAUUUAAAAAAUGCACUAUAUUUUAUCGAAUCAGAAUAAAUCCUUAUACUUUUUUAUUUUUAUUUGUUUUUAAUAUACUCAAGUUUUGGUAAUAAAAAGUAAGACAACGAAAGGGUAAAUUUGGAAUUAUAUUUUUUAAUAUACUCAAACUGAAUUUUUUAAUAUUAUAUUUUAAAAUGAGCUGUAAAUAAACAAAUAGUUUAAAGUAAGGGAGGCAAGUGAGUUUCACACCCAAAAAAAAAAAAAGAGAGGCAAGUGAGAUUUUUCAAUAUUUGUAAGUGUCAAGUAAAAUUGUUAGAAACCUCCAGGGAGGUUUAUGAAAUUAUCCCAAAUAAAAAUUUAGAAUGAAUAAGUUGCUUUUUAUAACGGUUCUAAAUGUUGCUUGAAACUUUAUAAAUUAGGCAUCUUGAGCUUGCAAAAAUAAUUUCUUGCAUAUCUAUAGCUAGUGGAAACGGAGUUUAAACUUGCUAUAGGUUAGUUUCUUGUUUUCCAUUGUAUCCUAAAGGGUAAUUUGCCAUUCAACCUAAUUUUAUUUUGAUUUUAUCCAACUAAUAAAUUAGCUUAUGGAAAAAUGGGUAAAUGGAUAAUUUAUGGAGGAAAGCCAUAAAAAACUGGUGUUUUAUUGGAAAACGGGUUUAUUUUUAUUUUAUUCGAUAAAUAAAUUUUUUAUGAGAAAAUGGGUACCCUGUUCUUAUAAUGGAGGAAAGUCAUAAAGAACUGGUGUAUUAUUGAAAAAUGGAUUUAUUUUUAUUUUAUCCGAUAAAUAAAUUUGUUUAUGGGAAAAUGAGUACUUUGUUCUUAUAAUGGAGGAAAAUCAUAAAGAACUGGGGUUUUAUUGGAAAACGAGUUUAUUUUUAUUUAUCUGAUAAAUAAAUUUGUUUAUGGGAACAUGGAUAUUCUGUUCUUAUAAUGGAGGAAAGCUAUAAAGAGCUCGUAUUUGACGGAAAAAUGAUACUUUAAGAUAUCAAUGGAAAACAGUUAAAACACAUUCACAUAUUUGGUAUUUGAAAUAAUGAGAUUGUUUUUAGAGGUGUUUUUAUGGUUGUAUUUUGGAAUAUUUUUAGAAUUUAAGAAUUAUUUGAGAUAUUUUAUAAAAAUUUCAACCACCCACUGGGACCACGGGCAGGAACGGUACCAUUCCUAGCGGUUUUGUGCAUUUUGCACACCGCAUAACUUUGUAUGCACACGACGUAACUUUGUUUGCACAAUGCGUAAUUUUAGAACAAAUUUUUGUGGAUCCCACACACGUUAAAAACGAGGUUCAAGAAGUGAUCUGGACCGUACAAUUUUUUUGGACCAAAUCUUAGCCGUGAACAGCUCAGGAGCGGUCCAUCUGAUGACCGCUCCUGCCCCUCAUCCCACCCACUGCCCCCCCCCUUCUCCUCUCUCUCUCUCUCUCUCUCUCUCUCUCUCUCUCUCUCUCUUCUCUUUUCUCCUUCUCCUUCCUCCCUUUUCUUCUCCCUUCCACCACCACCCCUACCAUCACCCACCACACACUGUCACUGACACUGUCACUCCCAACCCAAUUGGCCUCCCUUUCCCCCUCACGUUACAUAUUUUUAUUAAUGAAAAUUUUUCCCGUAAAUGGCCUGUUCUUUAUGGUUUUUCUUCAUUAUAUGAUCAAAGUACCAGAUUUUAAUGAGUAUUUUACAUCUAUUUAUUUAGUACUUUAAAUAAUGAUAUUCAGUUGUUUCUUUCCCUUUUAGACCAACUCUUUUGACUUGUGAAUUUUUGUGCUCUAGGAAAAAAAUUUUUGAUUAAUUUUUUAUAGAAAUGCAAAAGAAAAAAAUUAAUUAUGUAUAAAUUUCAAAAAUACUAAUUUAUUCACAGGAUAAAAUCAGAGUAAAAUUUCUAGUGAAUAAAUGGGUUUAAUAUGUAAUACCCGUGUUCCCAUUAAUUACUAUUUAUUUUUGGCUUUCCUCCAUAAAGUGCUCAUUUUCCCCUUUUUUCAUGAGUUACCAGCUCUUUAUAUUACUCCUCCAUGAAUUAUUUAUUUAAUUCAUGUUGCAUGCAUAACCCACCAGUCUCCAUUUCAUAAGUCUAGGGUACCGAAAGAUUAAUAAUUUAUUUAUCAGAUACAGUCAGAGUAAAUGGUGAAUAUGUGGGUUUAACAUGUUAUACCCAUUUUUUCAUAAAUUUUUUAUUAAUUAUGCAGGGUACCAUAGGAUUAAUAAUUUAUUUAUCAGAUAAAAUCAGAGCAAAUGGCCAAUUAUACCCGUUUUCUAUUUAUUCUUUAUAGAAAUGCUACCAAUUUACAGCUUUGCUGCAUGAUGUGCCCAUUUUUCCAUAACAUACUAGCUCUUUAUGGCACUCCUCCAACACAUGAACAAAGCACUCGCUCUUUAUGAGUCGUUUACUUUUACAUAGUUAAUUGAUGUUAAAUGUAUAAUCUACUGGUUUACCUUUCAUAAAUAUAGGAUACCAAUGGAUAACAGUUAAAACACAUUCACAAGAUUUGGUAUUUUAAAUAAUGGCAGCUCUUUAUGGCAGUCCUCCAACAUAUGAGCAAAGUGCCAAUAAUUAAAUUAGUAAUUUUUUCGAUUUAUACAUAAUUAAAUUUUUUUUUGGCAUUUUCACAAAAAAUUAAUGAAAAUUUUUUAUCAAAAAGCACAAAAGUCAAAAGGAUUGGUCUAAAAGGGAAAGGAUAGUAGAUAUGUACAGUACUUGUAUUUCACGUUCUACAGUGCUGUUUUUGAAAAACACCCCCAAAAACAUCUAAUUCAAACGGAGCCAGUAUUUUUCCACUGUUUCAUCCUUAGAAGAGUGAUAUAGAUACAGACAUAUAAACACAGACAUACAUCUGUUGUGUGUGUAUUUGAAGACAACUUCUGCAUCCAAAGCUAGCUAUUCAGCUUUUGUGUCCCCAUUAUUGUUUCUUAAGUAUUAUAAAUUUUUGGAAAUUAACGAAAUGUCAUUAUUAGUUCUGUGUAUGGAUUCAAUCCAAAAAUAUGGUUGUAUUAGUUAAGUUUAGUUCGUAAAGUUAAAUCUUCCAAACAUACCAUAGGAAGAAGUGGCAAGCAUUGGAAAUGAUUUUGCAAUAUAAUAUCAAUUUGAAUAACUGACAAAAAUUAAAAUAUCAUCAUGUUUAGUAUUGAAGUUUACAAAAAUAAUAAUGAACAAUUAAAUGGCAGAACCUACUAAUAGCGAAACCUUCUCCAAUUGCUUUAGACUUCGUAUUAGAUGGCAAACAAAUUGAUUUUGAAGUAUUUAUUUCCUAUAAAACAAAGUUAUGGAAAGAUCAUUUUUUUUAAUUGUAAUUGUAUUUAAUUUAAAAAAUGAACACAUUAAUAGUGUGAACAUGAAAUUAAGAAAAUUGUAAAUGAUAUGAUUUCGGGGAAAAAAAUUAUGCUACCGACUUUUUUGUAUUUAUCACUAAUUCACAUAUUGUGGCUGUAAAUUAAAAAAUUUUCAAGAUCAUCUUUUCAUUAAUUAGUCUUUUUUUUCGUCCUAUCGUUAGUUUGAAUGGAAAGUUUAGUUGCACGUUGUUUGUGAGUAACUUCUAAAGUAAUUAUCCUAAUAAUUUUAUGAUUGCUUAGUAUAUUUAUGUCAUGGGUAUAUAUUAUUGGUAUGUUGUUAUUAAUUUUAAUAGAUUUUUUGGUAUAUUAGGUGCAUAAAAUAGUAGUUUCAGAAUUUUUUGAAUGUAACAAAGCAAUGGGGGAAACAAUGAAAUAAUUGCUGCGAAGGAAACACAUGCACAGUGAAUGGAGGAAAACAUACACAGUAAUUGGAGGAGAAAAAAGGCACAGCGAAUGGCGAGAAACCCUUUAGUGGAAUUGGCCACUACCUUUGGUGUGGGGUGGGAGGUCCACUUAAUGUGGUUUUGUUUAAGAUCUAUGUGGGUGCUGUGUACAUGUAUGGUCCGAUAGUGAUUUAGUCCCCAUCAGUUCCCUGUAACCCUGUUAGGUCACCCCCUUAGUAUAGGCUAGAUUAGACCUAGGAGUAGGUAUAGAUGUAGACUUUGACAAGUGACAAAAAAAAAAAGAAUGGUGAGAAACCCAGCACUAAUGCGUAGGGCUCACCGCGUAUAUGACAACAGCGUACGGUAUUCGUUGGUUGGUUGCAUCCGGACAUGUUCGUUUGGUUUAUCUCCAUGCGCAUUAGCACUAUAACAUAACCGGUCCGUUAGCACCUUUAUUUUCAAAUAUACGUGUCAUGCUCUGCUCCUCUAAUAAAACACCAACUCUUUACGGCUUUCUUCCAUAAAUUAUCCAUUUACCUAUUUUUCCAUAAGCUAAUUUAUGAGUUGGAUAAAAUCAGAAUAAAAUUAGGUUGAAUGGCAAAUUACCCUUUAGGAUACAAUGGAAAACAAGAAACUAACCUAUAGCAAGUUUAAACUCUGUUUCCACUAGCUAUAGAUAUGCAAGAAAUUGUUUUUGCAAACUCAAGACACCUAAUUUAUAAAGUCUCAAGCAACCUUUAGAACCGUUAUAAAGAGUAACUUAUUCAUUCUAAAUUUUUGUUUGGGAUAAUUUCAUAAACCUCCCUAGAGAUUUCUAACAAUUUUACUUGGCACUCACAAAUAUUGAAAAAUCUGAUCACUUGCCUCUUUUUGGGUUGUGAAACUCACUUGCCUCCCUUACUUUAAACUAUUUGUUUAUUUACAGCUCAUUUUAAAAUAUAAUAUUAAAAAAUUCAUUUUGAGUAUAUUAAAAAAUGUAAUUCCAAGUUUACCCUUUCGUUGUCUUACUUUUUAUUACCAAAACUUGAGUAUAUUAAAAACAAAUAAAAAUAAAAAAGUAUAAGGAUUUAUUCUGAUUCGAUAAAAUAUAGUGCAUUUUUUAAAUACCAAUAGUUAGUAUUUGAAUGUUUAUUUGAAGUUUUUGCAAGUUACAAAGAUAAUGUUUUGGGUAGUCUAUAAAGUGUUUUUGAGUUAAUUUAUGAAUCUUUUACAUAUUUUCAAUUUUAUUUUAUUUUUUUGGUCCAAACUGAUGUAUUGAAAACGAAAAAGAUACAAGAAGAAAAAAGGAGAGUUUUUGGAGAAAAUGAAAGAAAUCGAACUGAUUAUAUUUGAUCAAUGUCUUGAAAGUAGUAGAAUAUUAAAAUAUACCAAAUCAUAUACAAUGCUUCUAUAUGGCUGACCUUCUCCACGCGUGUUAGGACUACAACAUAACCGGUCUGUUAGUACUUUUAUUUCCAAAUAUACGUGUCAUGCUAUGCUACUCUACCUAUGAUAGGAACGGUCAAUACCCUUCCCACCAUAAAGGUUUCCCCUAGGAGUACAACAUAAUCAGUCCGUUAGCACAUUUAUUUUCAAAUAUACGUGUCAUACUCUGCUACUCUACCUAUGAUAGGAACGGUCAAUGCCCUUCCCACCAUAAAGGGGAACCCUGGGGGUACGAUGGGUCAUUCUAAUACCCAAUGAAAUGAUGCCAUUUUGAAGAAGCUCCGACGUUUCACCAAGUGGUCCUUAACAAUAAUCUUCCGUACAUGGUAAAUUCAAUCAAAUUUUACAUCUUUUAACCGUUGACGAUGCUGUGAUUUCUUCUCAAUAAUAAUCUUCCGUACAUGGUAAAUUCAGUCAAAGAUAAAGUUUAAAAAAAAGAAAAAAGUGCUGGAAGUUCUUCAUUUCUUCGUCUAUUGGAGAAAUCUUUCAUGAAGGCUGUAGCAAAAGGGUGUAAUGAACAUAUAGCAGAAGCUGAAUUUUUAUUUUGAACUGAAUGCUUGCGUAUUUAUCAUGUAUUUAAAGCAGCUACUUAUACAUUAUCAAUGUAAAUAAGAUUAAUCCAUAAAUAUUAUAUUUUUGUUCCAAAGAUAUAAUUUGUAUUAAAUUAUAAUAGUUGCCCAUUGAGACGCCACUCUCCUGAUUAGGUAUAUACAAAUUUUACAUUCUCUAGAGUAGGUAAUUUACUUCCUGUAAGGAGGAUUUGUGCACUCAAGGCAAAGGCGUGAAGUUUCUGACAACGUUCAUAACGUGCCUUAACGUGCUCAAGGUAAAGUUUCUAGAACGCACAUAAAUAAAAGCUCAUCUGCAAAUGGGCAUAUGUUCCCCAUUUAUUCAAGUAUAAAACUACACGCGUGUUUCUAAUAAUAUCAAAUCUGGUUAAACACUGGUUAAUAGUAAAUUCUUAAAUACAUUUAGUGGUCAAAGUAAAUUCUUGAAUAUAUACUAUGAACACAUAUCAAAUUGCCUUUGCACCUUCGAACUCUGGUCAAUGAGAUGCCAAAGCACAUUCAUCAAUCAGUUACAAAUAUGAUAGAAAUAUUGCAGCAAACAACGGAUCAGCAAUGAAAAAUAUUAAACAAGAAAUAAAGAACUCAAGAAGCAUUUUUCAAACGAACAAUGCAUUACGAGUGAUUAAAAAGAAAAUCUCUAACCAAGUCCAAAUUCAACGAGUCGAAGAACAACUCUUUAGAUUCACGGUUCUUGAUGUUUCAAAUGCUUGGAUUGAGAAGCAUUUGAUGAAUCUGUAGGAAAAGUGGCGAACAGUGUUAACACGAAAAUACAAAUGAAUUGAACAAGCUUGAGUCGUGUUUGAAGAACACUGUCCUAAGAAACUAUUUCAGGUGUAUUGAAAUGUUUUCCCAGGAUUAAACAAGCCUUUCUCUUCUAUCAAGAGGGAAUUUGAACCAGCUAAUUUUUAGUCCAGCAAUAAGCGAGAGAGGGAGUAGAGAGAGCAGAGAGUAGAAGUUGAGAAUUACAAUGUGUGUGCCGUGCCAUACAAAUGAAUCUGCCCAAGGCCUCUAUUUAUAGCCUCUAUAAAGCGUUAGUAAAGAAUAGAUAUUAUCUCUUUGUUUGUUUAGAAAAAUCAGGAAGCGUGCAAUUUCAAAGCCUUUGGAAAUAGUCAAACAAACUUCAAAGAACGUUAUAAGCUUUAAACGUUAGAGCCUUUGGAAAGAGUCAAACAAACCAAUUCCAAGCUUUAACUUUGUUUGUUUGAAAGUUGUGGGAUAACAUAAUGCUCCACGUUUCGGUUUAAACCCAUGUGCAUGCCAACAACUUUAUCCGAUAGAAACUACCUGAUAGAGUAUGAAAUUGUCAGAGCAUGACCAUGAGUUUUAAAAUAACACGUGUAGUAACAAAUCUUUUGAAAUAUACAACAAUCUCCCACCUAUUUCAAAAGAUUUUAUAUAAAAUAAUGAAAAGAAAAUAUGCUGGACUUGUUUGGUUUCAAUGUAAUUAAUUUGGUGUUUUUUGGACUAUGAACCAAAUUUAGAUUGAUAAAACAUGUCUUACAGAAUUAUUGGUGAAAUAUGAAUUUCUAUGAACCAAUAACUCUUAUUGUAUGACAGAGAUUCUAUCAAUCACAUUGUAACCCAUAAUUUGCUGUUCAAUGCGAUGUCGCGCUUUUUAGGCCAUACGUCUGCCUGAGUAUUCAUGAGAGCUCUAAAGAUUCGGCCAGAUAAUCUUAUAGGAGCGGUCCCACUCUACUCUCAUAUAGGUGAAUUCAUCAAGUGUAUACUGCUCUAAAUACACCUCCCUAAAGGGAUAUGAAUUCAUUAAGAGUUUUAACUCAACCUCAUAACUAUUAGCAGUUAAAGCACUCGUUUCAAAAGGGACUUAAACUUAAUAGUGCUUUACAGUCAAUAUUGACUUGUUAUUACCCAUAUGAACCUAUUUCAUGGGAUUACCAAUCACAUAGGUUGGGUUACCAUCUUUAUUGACUACUGUUGGCCUAAGUCCCAUUUCCCUUGUAGUUUGAAGAAUUAAUUUUCUUCCUAAAGGUUUAGUCAGAGGAUCGGCCAAAUUCAAUUCUGAUUUCACAAAAUUAAUGAAAAUUAUUCCAUCUUUAAGCAGCUGCUUUACGACAUCAUGUCUUAAUUUCAUAUGUCGACUUUUACAAUUAUAAGAUUUAUUUUUAACUAUGGCAAUCGCUGCUUGACAGUCACAAUGUAUGGACACAGGAGGCAACAAAUCCCCAGUUGAAGGAAUAUUAGCUAAGAAAUUUCUCAACCACUCGGCUUCAGUCCCUGUCAGUUCCAGAGCUACAAACUCUGACUCUAUUGUUGAUCUAGCAUAUUUCCAUGCUAUUGCACCACCACCAAGGGUGAACAUAUAACCACUAGUGGAUUUCGUAUCAUUUGAAUCAGAGAUCCAAUUAGCAUCACUGUAACCCUCUAAUACAGUGGGAAAUCCACUAUACAGGAUACCAAAAUUCAUGGUACCUCUCAAAUAUUUCAUUAGUCUGACUAAUGCAAACCAAUGGUCACGAUUGGGAUUAUGAGUAUAUCUAUUCAGUCUACAUACAGCAUAAGCUAUAUCAGGUCUAGUGAAAUUCAUUAGGUGCAUCAGACUCCUAAUAAUCUGAGCAUAUUUAGACUGAGCAAUUGGGUCACCGUUAUUUUUCUUUAAUUGUGUGCAAGCAUCAUAAGGAGUGCUCACAGGAGUCACAUCAUAAUUUUCAAACUUCCUAAGAAGUCUCUCUGUAUAAUGUUCUUGAGACAACAUUAUACCAUCAUCUCUCCUUAUGAUUUUAACACCCAAUAUCAUUUUAACUUCACCCAAAUCUUUCAUAUCAAAAGUAGAAGACAAAAAAUAUUUAGUACUAUUAACAAUAUUUAAACUAGUACCAAAUAUAAGCAUGUCAUCCACAUACAAACUAACUAUCACAUAUUCAUCAUUUACAACUUUAGUAUAUACACAUUUAUCCACUUCUACAGACGAAAAACCGUCUCGUAUCAAAACUUGAUCAAACUUCUCAUGCCACUGUUUAGGAGCUUGUUUUAUGCCAUAAAGAGAUUUUACUAAUUUACAAACUUUAUUUUCUUGUCCAGACACAACACAUCCCUCAGGUUGAGUCAUAUAAAUUUCUUCUUCUAAAUCACCAUUUAGAAAAGCUGUUUUGACAUCCAUUUGAUGAACGAAAAGUUUAUGGAUAGAAGCCAAAGCAAAUAAAACCCGAAUAGAAGAAAUUCUUGUUACUGGUGCAAAUGUGUCAAAAUAGUCAAUAUUCUGUUUUUUAGAAAAUCCUUUGGCCACUAAACGAGCUUUAUAUUUAUCUAUAGAGCCAUCGGAAUUAUAUUUCCUUUUAAAAAUCCAUUUGCAACCAAUAGGUUUUGCACCAGUUGGUAAAUCUACCAAAAUCCAAGUUUUAUUGUUCAUAAUAGAAUCAAAUUCAGCUUUAAUUGCUUCUUUCCAAAGUUUAUUAUCAGAAGAAGAAAUAGCAUCAGAAUAAGUUAAAGGAUUAUUGUCAACAAGAAAGGUUUGAAAGUCAUUUCCAAAAGAAAAUUCUUUUCUUGCCCUUUUAUUCCUUCUCAAUUCCUCAUUUGAGACUAUUUCUCUAUUUACUUCAACAGGUGCAUGAGAAAUUUUAUUCGAUAGCGGAAAAAUAUGUUCAAAAAAUUCAGCAUUUUUUGUCUCUAUAAUUGUAUUACAAUCAAGCAUAUCAUUUCUUUACACAAGAAAUCUAUAUGCAGCACUAUGUUCAGCAUAUCCAAUAAACAUACAAUCAGAAGUUUUAGAACCUAUUUUCCUUUUCUUAGGUUCAGGCAACAAGACUUUAGCAAGACACCCCCAAACUUUUAAAUAUUUCAAAUUUGGUUUAUAAUUUUUCCAUAACUCAUAAGGUGUUUUGCCAGUCUUUUUAUGUGGAAUUCUAUUUUGUAAGUGACAUGCAGAUAAUAUAGCUUCUCCCCAUAAAUUAUCUGGAGCAUGAGAACUAACUAACAUAGAGUUCAUCAUUUCUUUUAACGUUCUAUUUUUUCUUUCAGCUACUCCAUUAGAUUCUGGUGUAUAAGGUGGAGUUAUUUCAUGUAUUAUGCCUUCCUGUUCACAAAGGUUAUCUAAAGUUAAAUAUUCUCCACCCCUAUCUGAUCUAAUUCUUUUUAUCCUUUUAUUAAGUUGAUUUUCUAAUUCAGACUUAUAGGAUAAAAAGGCAUUAUAAGUAUCAUCUUUAUUUCUAAGUAAAUAAACUUUGAUAUAUCUAGAAUAGUCAUCUAUAAAAGUGACAUAGUACCUUUUCCCACCUCUAGUCAUUGUUUGUUUUAAUUCACCUAAAUCAGUAUGAAUUAAAUUUAAUAAUUCAGUUUCUCUAUGGACAGUUAUACAAUUUUUCUUUGUUAUUUUAGCUUCUGCACAUAUUUCACAUUUGUCCAUAUUAUCAUUAAUACCAGAAAUUAGGCCACAUGAUUGCAUUUUCUUUAUAUAACCAAUAUUAACAUGUCCUAAUCUAGCAUGCCAUAAAGAAAUGGAAUCAACAAUAUAAGCAGAAGAAGAUGCAUUUUCAUUGAUCACAUCAGAAAUGUUGAGUACAAAGAGUCCCUGAUUACAAUAGCCUUUGCCCACAAAUACAUUAUUUUUGGUCAUUAUAAUCUUGCCAGAUUCAAAUGACACUUUCACUCCAACUUUUCCUAGCAAAGCUACGGAAACCAGAUUUGCCUGAAUGUUUGGCACAUGCAGCACAUCAAUAAGAGCCAAAGUUUUUCCUGAAGUGAGUUUCAAGAGUACUUUGCCCUUACCCAAAACUUUAACAGUUCGUGAGUCACCAAGGUAAACCACUUCUUCAUCAUCCCCUAUAGAAGUAUAGGAGGAAAAUGCUUCUCGACUUGCACAUAUGUGUCGAGUAGCCUCAGAGUCUACCACUCACUCUUUUACAUUAGCUGCAAUGUACACUUGGGAUAUGACAGCAGCAAUUAUAUCAUCUCCUUCGGUUAGGUGCACCUUAGGAGGAUUAACAUUUGCUUUGUCACCUUUAUUGUGUCUACAUUGGGCCAAAUGAUGUCCUGAUUUUUCACAAUAAUAGCAAUUGCCUUUCUUUCUCUUAAAGUUGGGAUUGUUGGGCUUGUAAUUUUGGGAUUUAUUGGCGUACCUUUUGUUCUUGUUGUUGUUGUUUUGAACGUUGCUUCGUAUCAGGUUCGCAUUGAGACUCAUUUCUUUAGCUCUGGCAGCUCUCAUUUCUUUCUUGUUGGCAUCUUCAAUGAGAAUGUGCUUCACGAGCUCAUCAAUAGUGUAGUUUUUCUGCUUGUGCUUCAGGUUGUUUUUGUAGUCAAUCCACGACUCGGGCAAUUUUUCAAUUAGCAUGCUUGCUGCAAAUUUUUCAGGCAAAUUGAUGUCUUCACUUUUCAAGUCCUCGAGUAGCAUCUGGUAUUCCGUGAUUUGGACUUUCAUUUCUUUGUCUUCCGUCAUCUGCCAUUGAUUGUAUCUUCCAAUGACGAACUUUUGUUUGGUUGCAUCUUCAGCGGUGAAUUUUGUUACCAAGGCUUCCCAAAUUAUUUUGGCCUUCUUACAGCUACAGUACACGUCAAACAGUUCAUUUGAAAGCGUUUGCAAAAUAGUAUGCCUACAUACCUUAUUGGCAUAUUGCCAUGAUUCUUGUGUUUUGACAUCUGUGGUUGAAGCAGGCUGGGACUCCGUCAGUGCAUAGGCCACUCCAUGGAUGUCGAGUAGUGAGUGUACUCGUUCUUGCCACCUUUUGAAAUUUUCAUUGGCAAAGACUUUAACUCUGGAGAUAUCCGGAAAUGGCUUGGCGAAUGGUAGUGCAACUGCAACGGCCGUGGAUGAAGGUUGUGGGGUGAUAACACUGUCAGAUGCCAUAGUUUCUUAGAUUGUAGGAAAAGUGGCGAACAGUGUUAACACGAAAAUACAAAUGAAUUGAACAAACUUGAGUCGUGUUUGAAGAACACUUUCCUAAGAAACUAUUUCAGGUGUAUUGAAAUGUUUCCCCAUGAUUAAACAAGCCUUCCUCUUCUAUCAAGAGGGAAUUUGAACCAGCUAAUUUUUAGUCCAGCAAUAAGCGAGAGAGGGAGUAGAGAGAGUAGAGGGUAGAAGUUGAGAAUUACAAUGUGUGUGUCGUGCCAUACAAAUGAAUCUGCCCAAGGCCUCUAUUUAUAGCCUCUGUAAAGCGUUAGUAAAGAAUAGAUAUUAUCUCUUUGUUUGUUUAGAAAAAUCAGGACACAUGCAAUUUCAAAGCCUUUGGAAAUAGUCAAACAAACUUCAAGGAACGUUAUAAGCUUUAAACGUUAGAGCCUUUGGAAAGAGUCAAACAAACCAAUUCCAAGCUGAUAGGUUGCAAUUUUAUCAUUUAUUUUAUUAUUAAUUUUUCCUAUUACCUGACCUAAUGUGGAUUAAUUGCUAGAUUCUACUCACUUUUGAUAUUUUGCAUUUAUUUCAGGGAAUAGAACGAAAAUAUAAUAACAGGUGCUAAUUUGGCAAGAAAAGAGUUCAGAUGAUAGAGUUUGUCCUAGGGCAUUUUUGGAACAACAAAACAUGAGCCCUUGUUGGGCAAAUUGGGCAAGUCUUCAUUUUCCCGCACAGGAGCCGCCGCAAGGGCACUACUUUAUAUAGAAAACUUGCGCAGGAAAAGGGGGAGCUGCUUCCUCUCCGGAAGGGGGCCGCUGCACAAGGCCAGACAGUAGCAAUAGGCCAUUAGGAUAGAAACUAUUAGAUUGCAGAGAACAAGCACUAUCUUUUUCUAGCUUCACUUUGACUUUUCUUCCUAGCUUUUCAUUGCUUUUCUCCACGCAUGUCAGGAGGAAGCAAUUCUUAGUUUUAGCUUGUGACUUUUCCUUUUUCGUCUUUUAGUGGUUUGCUUCCUGCGGAUGUCCAGACCGAAGGAAAACUAUGAAGUACCUUUUGUAGCUUUCUUUCUUUAUUGAAUAGACGAAUUGAAUUCGCCCAACUUCCGAAUUGAUGGCCGCAGCUUUUGCUUUAAUUUCUUGUGGAUUUUGUUCAUCAACUAUGAACUAAUUUCCUCACCCUAGCCAAGGGACAACGGAUGCUUUGGGUCGCCUAAAAUUGUGAGAUCGAUUUAAUUUUAUUUUUUUCUUUUAUUUAUUGGUAUUCGCAUAUUUCCUGGUUACAGUGCUUAUGAUUGUUUAAUUAAUUGGUUGUCUUGGAUCCGGAUAAUUAGUUAAUUUGAUAAUCUAUUAUCAAUUGGGACGUUAAAUCCGUAAUUGUUUAAUUGUCUCAAAAUAGUGAUAACUGGCAUGAUUGGAUUUGUGUCAGGGGAAUACGCGGGCUAAUCUAAAAUAACCCUGGUAGUGCGUUAUUUGGUUAGAAUAGGGCUCCUCUAAUACGUAAGGCAAUUGGGGAAUUAAAUCUUACGGGCGUACCUAGGAUUAUUUCUCAAUUAGAGCAGUGAUUAACGGGCGUACCUUAAUCACCGACACAGUAAGAAGGGGUUGACUGCCAUCGUUUGUUUGGUAGUUAUAACUUAUUUAUUGAUGAAUAAUUGGAAUUGCCUUUGCUGAUCGAUGAUCAAUUAGGUGAACCAUUGCUGAAGUUAUUUCUUGGCUAGAUCCUUAAUUACCACUUAUUAGAUUUUAGUAAAUUGUUAUUUAAUUUCUAGUUGGCUAUUUUAUUUUUAUCAUUUUAUUUUUAGUUGGAUUGGUUAAAUUGUCACUCCUGAUAUAAAACACCCCCUUUGUCACUGUGAACUUGAAAAGAAACAAUUACUCCCAGUCCCUGUGGAUUCGACCCUGCUCACCACUAUCUACAGAAAUUAUUUUUAGUUUGAGCAGGUAUUUAUUAUUGCACAGGCUUCGACAACCUGUCACAAGCUUUAACUUUGUUUGUUUGAAAGUUGUGGGAUAACAUAAUGCUCUACGUUUCGGUUUAAACCCAUGUGCAUGCCAACAACUUUAUCCGAUAGAAACUACCUGAUAGAGUAUGAAAUUGUCAGAGCAUGACCAUGAGUUUUAAAAUAACACGUGUAGUAACAAAUCUUUUGAAAUAUACAACAGAAUCAAAUUCUCAAGAUUUGAGUUAGAAUCUGUCACAGCCAUUUCUGCCAGUUUUUUCCGGUCCAUGGCUUUCUUCUUCAUUUCCUUGCCCUUCUCCCCAGCCAUUAACUCGCUAACAAGGCUUUCAAUGUCAUCCCUCUUGACAUUAUUGUCUAUCUCCAUUCCAAUACCCCAUUUAUUGCAGCAAAACCAGCAAUUAGUUUGUUGAUCAGCAAAAAAUGGCCAGCAGAACAAAGGCACCCCAUAACUAAUACUUUCGAUUGUGGAAUUCCACCCACUAUGAGUUAAGAAUCCUCCAACAGAAGGAUGGCUGAGAACUUUCUCGAGGGCAACAGCCUGCAAACAUGCUUCUUUCUUUGGUUUCUUCAAAAAACUCACUUGGCAGAAUAGCAGAACUGCCUGAGACAAGAUCUGGCCUUAAAAUCCACAAAAAGUUUCGUUUGCUAUUAGCAAGUCGGGUCCCCAAGCAAAUUCGACUAGUUGCUCAGGUGUCAUAACAGCAAUGCUUCCAAAGUUGACAUAAACCACAGAGUUUGGAUCUUUCAAAUCAAGCCAUUCAAGACAUUCUGGCUCUUCCUUCCAGAGAUUUGAUUGAAUAUCUGGUAAAGACUUAUCAUGCACAUGAUUAUCAAGGAAGUGUAGUGGUCCAAUGGUGUAAAUUGGUGGAAGAUAAGAUGAAAGUGCAUCUAAUACACCAUGUUCGAGUUGUUGAUAGGUGUUUAUAAUGAUGGCAGAAGCCUUUCUAGCUCUCUGAGUUUCUUGCAGGACGAAUUUCACCAUAAAAUCAUCGGGAUUCGUGGUUCGUAAGAAGCUUGGAAGAUCCUUCAAGCGUAUACCCUCUAAUUCUGGAAUCCAGUCUAGAACAGUAUCUAGAUAUCCAUUUGUCAAAUAACUGGCAUCUGCAAGGCAUAAGAUGUACGAUACCAUGCAUCAUCAGAAUCAUUCAAGGGCAACUUGGGCAGUGCAAAAUUUGAUGCUUUUUACAUAGUCAUAUUCUUGAAAAACAAAUAUUUUCCAACUUAGUUAAAAGAAAAAAGAAAUCUUACACUUUCUUAUUCAUUAAAUUAAAAUUUGACUACAAAGUCAAUGUUAUGCGUGGGUACAAAUGGGAUAAAACCACUGGUGCAAGCUACAAUGCAGUGGGUACAAAUGGGAGAAAGUAUCUUUUGCCUGCCCUUGUUGACCCUAACACUUUAGAGUGCUCCACUAUUGUGUGAAAAAAACACAUUGUACAUUUUACUUUUUUUGUUAAUGUAAAUAUUAAUAUUAAGUAAUUUUCAUAUUCAAUUUUCAAAAGCUGCUGCUUCCUUUUCUUUUUUUUUUUUUUUCCUUUUUCCUAACAUUUUCCUUACGAAGGUCAAGUUUAAUUUUCCAUAAGAGAGAAAAGUAGAUGUACAAUCCCAAUGUGACCAAUUUUUGAUGCCUUCAUUUAGAUUUCAUAUUUCUUUUGGUUUGUUUAUUUAAGUGAUAUUAAUUACAAGUUAGAACUCAAGAUGCAAGGGCUCUAAGUUGAGCUGACCUUUGGUUCAUAUUUUUUAAUUACAUUUUUAUCUCGCAUAUAUUAAAUCAUUACAGUAUAUUUUUCAAUAAAAAUUUUAAAAAAUAGUAAUCCAAAUGCAACUGAUUUCAUAUUUCUUUUAGUUUGUUUAAUUGAGUGAGUUAAGUUACAACUUAGAACUCAAGAUGCAUGGGCUUUAAGUUGAGUCAGCCCAAAGUAGGGUGGAGUGGCUUGGAUUUGGCCUUGUUCAGAUUGAAGUUUUUCAAAGAAUUUUUUUCAUGUCCACAUUUUCUAAUCACUUUUUUACCAUGUAUACAUCAAAUUAUUACAAUAUUUUUCACUGGUUCUGUAAACCAAAAAAAAAAGCCAAGGACUUGAACCUAGUAAGCUAAUAUCAAUCCACUCAUUGCUAAUCAGAAGCAAGAGGUACUGCACGCCCAAAAUUUUCCCCUACAGGUAUCAUGCAUUGGGAUCAUCACUCUCCAAAGGCAUAAACCCUCUAAGAUAAUCCAAAUUUUGAAGAAAUACCUUUCAUCUCAGCUCGUGCAUGCAGUUCUCAUGAAAACAAAUCUCUAUGCUUGUACUCAAAGAAAACAAAAAGAAAAUUCCAGUUGAGACUUCCUCAGUGACAGAACGAAAUCCAAAUGCACCGAAUUAUCAUAUUUACUCUAAACUAGAGCGAAAAAUGAAACCCAAAGGACAUCUAUCACACAACUAAAAGCUACUCAACGUAAUUUUCUUACCAAACCCUACUUUAUCAAAAAGUUGAUUUCCUGUUUUACCUUUUGUUUCGACCAUAUGCGACACCACCCCUAUCAGCUACAAUAACAAUGUCCAACUAGUAAACAUUCGACUCAACAAUUUUCUAUUAAUCAACCAUUGUCUCGUUAUCUAGGGCAAUCUCUAUUCAGUUACUUGUUGAGGUAAAUAUUUAUUUAAAUAAUAUACACUGUCUAGUAAUUUUCUUCUCUUUGUUGUUAUUUGGCCAUGAAACAGCACAGGUAAAGCCUCCACAACUCGAAGAAAGUUGCUCGGUUUGUCCAUCAUUCCCCCUCUUCAAAUUAUCCCCAAAUGUCUCCUUUUCUUCCCCAGGAUUUCUUUGCUUCAUGAAUUAGCUCUUUAAUUUUAUACCAGUAAACAGAUUCCACCCAAAAAAAAAAUUUAAAACCCACAUUUCUAUUUAUUCAAUCAUUCGAAUUUCGUUAACUUCAGCAGCUUUCAUUCAGUUUCCAUAGCUACAUAUCCUAUUGAAUGAUAAAAAGAAGGGGGCAAAAAAAAAAAAGAAUAACAAUAUAAAUUUAAAAACAAUCAUAUUGCUAUUUAUUUACUUCAUAAAACCUAAAAUAUCGUGAACAAACAGAACCCCAAAUUAAUCAAAACCUCAGAUCAAUCCCUUUCAAUGAAUUAGGCAGGAAAAAAAAUGACAGAAUAAACGACGCCGCACGCAGAUACACGCGGACAAGUGUGUGUCUGUGUGUGAUGUUACAUACAUAUUUGAAGGAAAUUUCCCAAGUUAAUAAAAUUCCGUAGAAAAGGAAUUAAUUACCAGAGAAUUAGAGGCCUGAAGAUGGACGGAAGAGCAGAAAGGCAGUGAGCAUAAUUCUAGAAAAAGAUUGAAAGAGCCGAAACACACACACACACACACACACGUAUUGUUCACGCCUUUUCCUAUCAAUCCAAAUGCAACCUAAUGUAUCAUGCUUCCUACGUCCCGGCCUAAAGGUGCAAACCUUUGAGCUUAGAUGAAUAUCGCGCCUUAAUGCACUCAAGGAAAAGGCGUGAAGUUUCGGACAAUGCUCGUAACGCGCCCUAAUGUACUCAAGGCAAAGGUCUUUGUAGGACGCACACAUAUAAUCCUGAGUAACAUCCUACAAUGCCCUUUAGUCUCACGAUGGUUAGUAGUUUCGGUUUGGAUGAUGCAUUUUAGAACGGACAAACUCUUAUUUCAAUUUCACUUAAUGAUCAAAGUAAAUUCUUGCGAACAAACUACGUUUAGGGCAUAAGUGCGAAAGUACAUUAAUCAAGACCAGUUAUAACACAUGAUUCAAGUAUUAGAGCAAACAACCUUUGAGUACGAAAGAAACAUGAAACAAAGAAGUGAAGAAACAUUUAUUAGUUUCAAUAGCAAACCAUGCACGUAUGAGUACUUGAAAAAGAAAAUCUCUAACCAUAUCCGAACUUCAAUGAGCCGAAGAACAAUAAUCUUGGAUCUAUAAUAAUCUCUAACCAUUGGAAAAGUUUGGUUUAAUUAUGACACUACAUUUGUGGGUUUCAGCAGUUGUAAACAUUGCAUAGAUUUUUUUUUUUUUAAUCCAUUGUGUGAGAAGCACACACUGUAUCAUGGGUGAUUUGUUUAUUUCGUGUAAUUAUCAAUAUAAGUGAUAUUCACAUUUAAUUUUCAAAAAAACUGCAUCUUUUUUUUAAAAAAAAAAAACUUUCAUUCUUCCCAACAUUUUCUUACAAAGAUCAUGUUUAAUUUUUCAUAAGAGAGAACAGUAGGCACACAAUCCCCAAGCGACCAAUUUUGUUUGCCCAGGUGAGUUUUUCUUUUAGUGACAUUUUGACCCCAAAAAAAAAAGUGAGUUUUUGUUUUUCUCUUGUUAACGAGUGAGCUUAAAGACAAGCCGAGAAACAAGGGUUCCAAGUUGAGCUGGCCCAUAAUACGAUGAAAGGGAGGCAUGGAAAUGGUAGUAAACCAUGCCUUCUGUAUCCCAGCCUAUAGGCCCAAACAUCUGAGCUUAGAGGAUUUAUGCACUCUAGGUAAAGGCGUGAAGUUUCUGACAACGUUCGUAACUUGCCAUAAUAUACCCAAGGUAAAUUUUUUUAUUUUUUAUUUAUUUUAAGAUGAAGGGUUUGUUUGAUAGGACCGUCGAUAGGGCCUAGACUCGAGUUAGUUGGGCCCACUCAACCUGAUUAAAAGAUCCAUGAAUCUAAUCUUCCAUUGACUUAGCUUGAAUUUAACUUAAAUACGAGAUCCGAAUUAAAUGCAAGCCAAGUUUGAAUUUUAUCAGCCUCAAGUUUGAUACAUGCCUGACCCGUUAAUUUAUACCUAUAUAUAUAAUUAUCUAUAUAAUAGGUGUAUUUAAUUAUAUCCAAAUAAAUAUAUAAUUACUAAAUCCUGCCUUUGUAUGUCGUCUAAAUCACCCCUAAUAUUAGGAAUGUCAUUGAUGAUGUUAUAACUAUGUCGUCUUUCUGUUUCUAAAGUUGUAUUAGAUAAAGUUGGCAGGGACCAAGUCAAGCUCACUGUUGUAUUACUGCUAUCUGUCAUGAAUAUUAAUUUCAAAUUUUUGUUUUAAAAAAGUUUUAAUGUUGUGGUCCUAUGAAUAUUAAAUUAAUUUUAAAACUUAAUAGUUCUAAUAAUUAUAUUGGGUUAAAUCCAAAUUAGGCUCAUAGUAGAAUAUUUUGUGAGUCAAGUAUGAGUUUUAUAUUUAUCAACCCAAAAUUCAUAAUUCAAAAUCCGAAAGUGGUACUAAUUAUAUGGGUUAAAUUUGGACUUAUUAAAAUCUGAGUCAGAUGGCCUGGUUGAUAGGCUUAGUUUUUUGGAAUUCAAUUGACAAGUUUAGUUUUUUAGGACGCAAUAAAUAGAAGCUCAUCUGCAUAUCAGCUUAUGUUCCACCUUUAUUUAAGUCAAAGUGCACACUUCCUUGUACUAUAUAAAAAUGAGUUGUAGUCAAAGAGUAGUUUUGAAUUUCAACCGCAUAAAUAGGAGUAUUUCGGAAUGUGGAAUGAUGUGGAGUAUAUUUUUAGUUUUGGGUACAAGUGAUGGUAGCAUAUGUUUUGGUAUGUGUACAAAAAAGGCCUCAUGUUUGUACAUUUAAAGCAUAUAUUUAUGGAAAUAUUUGAAUAUUUUUGGAAUGUGGAAUUAUUUUAUAAUUAUUUUUGCAGCGGGUACAAGUCAUACAAAUUUAUGUAUUGAUGUAAUUACUUAAAUGGUGUUAGACACAUUUGCUUGAAGUGUAGUACUUAUUGUGCAAUUGAAAUGAGGACACAUUACUAUAAUCUUACCACUUGAGGAUAUUCAAUUGCCUGAAACAUAUUCAAUUGUCUUUACCAUUUACAUCUCAAUUAAACUGAAGAAAACGUGGGUAUGUUAAUGAAUUAAUACCCCAGUACCGGUUAUGAUUGUUCAAAUGUCUUCUCCUUCACAGCUUUCGAUUUUUUUUUUUCAACUUCCAGGAUUGGGAUAUUUUUGCUGCCUUUAUGCUCUGCAUUCCAAAAUAGUUUUCAGGCGAAAGUAUUUUUAGUGGUUUAGCUUGAGGUGAGUUUUGUUCUUUAAUUUUAUUGUUUAUGUGGGUGAGUUUGGUGGCGUGUAGCAUCGGGUGACUGCUUCCAUCACAAAAUUUGAAAAUCUAAUUGCGUAAUUUAACUGUAAUAUUAUGAUUUUCCCACAAAUUUGGUUGGUCUGUGUAAUUUGAAUGGUAUGGUUAUGAUGUAAUAGAUUUGGAGCAAUUGCAAGAAAAAGUUUUCCUAAGGGUAUCUAGAGUAAGGUAAGCCAAAAAAUAUAGUUCAGUUAUGGUCUGUUUUAUGCUGCAUGCAGUAAGUGAUUCAUGUAUGGAAUUCAUUUUCAUAGUAAUUUGAUAUUAAAACAUUAUGAAUUGGUAGUUUCCAUGGUAUACUGCUGAUUUGAGUUUGAAUUAUUUAGUCACUAAUGAAUUAAUAAAAUAAACGCCUUCUAAGCCAUUCAUAUUGGAAGUGUUUUACAUAUACCUUCUAAUUAAGCAGCAGUAAUAGAGAUGGUUCGAUUUCCUUAGACAGUGAUGAAUUUGUAAAAGCUCCUUUGAGCAAACAACUUCAAUGAGUGCUUUCUUAUAUUAUAGAACAACGAAUGCUUUCUUAUACACAUACACAAAACUAAAAUUGCUGCAAAAAACUAAAAAGUUGAACCAAAAAGAUGCGAAACAAAACCUCACACUAUACAAGAUGAGUGUGAAUUUGAAUUUUAACCCCAAGAACAGAUAUAUAACUAAUGAAAUCCAUGAAAUGUAAAUUGAAUAACAAUCUGAAGAAAGGGAAACUUAAAUAACUUUUUACAGAUGCUAUAAUCCUUAUUGAUCAACAAGUUGAUUAACAUUUUAACCCCAAGAAUAGACAUAUAGCUAAUGAAAUUACCCAUAAUCUGUGAAAUGCAAUUUGAAUAAUAAUUUAAAGAAAGGGAGACUUAAAUGGCUUUUGUAGACAAUCUAUUAUUGAAACAUAUGCUAUGAAAUAUUAUCGUUUAGUAUGAUAUCCCACUCUUAUCUUCAUUCAUUUACUCUCCCACCAGUUUAAAUACUUUCGAAACUCCACGAAAUAACAACACAACCACUAACAAACAAUUGUUUAGAAAACUUUUUUAACCACAAGCACCAAACACCUGUGCGAUGCAUGGGUACUCUCUCCCUAGUAUUUUCAAAUAAUGUCAUCUGGUUAAGCACUGGUUAAUAGGAGCCCAAAAGUGUCAAGUAAAGUGCACCAAAAUCAGAUGAAUUGCCUAUAUUAACAGGAUUUACUUUCUAUACAUUGUUAAUAUAGUGAUUUUUUUUAUACAAGCAAUCAUGAAUGUAUGUUAUGUGUAUGAUUUGAAUUUCAAAUUUAAAUAUAUAUUAUGUAAUGUGAUCUAACCUGUUAGUAUAAAAAAAUUUAUCUACUAUAAUGUAUAUAUUAAUAUUAAUAAGGAGCACUUCUCAGAAGAAUUCUUUGUUUCGAUGGACUUUUCUAGCAAGUGCAUAGGGUCACUUGUUAGACAAAUUCAAAUUUCAUAUGUUCCAACAUCCGAUGAAGGAGAAAUUCUUAUGUAAAAUUGCACAACCAGCCAUCUUUAGGCCAAAUUAAAUUGUAGUACAACAUUUUAUCAACUUAAAUCAUAAUCGUUCUUUCUGUAAAGUCGUACAUUUAGCGUAGUUUCGUUUAGGAUUUGUUUUAUCUUUAAAUACAUUUAGCGGUCAAAGUAAAUUCUUAAACACAUUUCAAAUUGCGUUUGCACCUUCGAACUCGGGUCAAUGCGAUGGGGCCAUUUUCUCUAAGAAGUCAUAAAUCGAACUUUUUGUUAGUAACUGGAGCUCAAGUCAUGUAUGUAAAAUUGUCCAAGCUACGUUUAUGAAUGCCAAAGUACAUUAAUCAAUCAGUUACACAUAUUGAAAUAUUGCAGCAAACAACGGAUCAGCAAUUGAAAAAAAUUAAACAUGAAAUAACUCGAGAAACAUUUUUCAAAACAAACCAUGCAUGUAUGAGUAAUUAAAAAGAAAAUCUCUAACCAAAUCUCAAAUUCAAUGAGCCCAACAACUCUAUAAAUUCACGGUUCUUGAUGUAUCAAAUACUUGGAUUGAGAAGCACUUGAUGAAUCAAAUUCUCAAGAUUCAAGUUAGAAUCUGUCACGGCCGUUUCUGCCAAUUUUUUCCAGUCCAUGGCCUUUUUCUUCAUUUCCUUACCUUUCUCUCCAGCCAUUAACUCGCUAACAAGGCCUUCAACCUCAUCCCUCUUGACAUUAUUGUCUAUCUCCAUUCCAAUACCCCAUUUUGUGCAGCAAAACCAGCAAUUAGUUUGUUGGUCAGCAAAAAAUGGCCAGCAGAUCAUAGGCACCCCAUAACUAAUACUUUCGAUUGUGGAAUUCCACCCACUAUGAGUUAAGAAUCCUCCAACAGAAGGAUGUCUGAGAACUUUCUCUUGAGGGCACCAGCCUGCAAACAUACUUCUUUCUUUGGUUUCUUCAAGAAAUUCACUUGGCAGAAUAGCUGAACUGCCUGAGACAAGAUCUGGCCUUAAAAUCCACAAAAAGUUUUGUUUGCUAUUAGCAAGUCCCCAAGCAAAUUCGACUAGUUGCUCAGGUGUCAUAACAGCAAUGCUUCCAAAGUUGACAUAAACCACAGAGUUUGGAUCUUUCGAAUCAAGCCAUUCAAGACAUUCUGGCUCUUCCUUCCAGAGAUUUGAUUGAAUAUCUGUUAAGGACUCAUCAUGCACAUGAUUAUCAAGGAAAUGUAGUGGUCCAAUGGUGUAAAUUGGUGGAAGAUAAGAUGAAAGUGCAUCUAAUACACCAUGUUCGAGUUGUUGAUAGGUGUUUAUAAUGAUGGCAGAAGCCUUUCUAGCUCUCUGAGUUUCUUGCAGGACGAAUUUCACCAUAAAAUCAUCGGGAUUCGUGGUUCGUAAGAAGCUUGGAAGAUCCUUCAAGCGUAUACCCUCUAAUUCUGGAAUCCAGUCUAGAACAGUAUCUAGAUAUCCAUUUGUCAAAUAACUGGCAUCUGCAAGGUAUAAGAUGUACGACACCAAGUAUCAUCAGAAUCAUUCAAAGGGCAUGGGGGCAGUGCAAAAUUUGAUGCUUUUUACAUAGUCAUAUUCUUGAAAAACAAAUAUUUUCCAACUUAGUUAAAAGAAAAAAGAAAUCUUACACUUUCUUAUUCAUUAAAUUAAAUUUUGACUACAAAGUCAAUGUUAUGCGUCCGCCAAUGAGUAUAUGAAGUAAACCACCAAAAAAAAUGGUGAGAAUAGUACUGACAGCAGCAAUAUUUGAGCUUAAUCCACAGAAACAAGUUAACAUUUUUACACUGACAAAAAAUUAUUUUAUUAAGAAUUAGUACCUUUGAGUGGUAUGAUACCCUUUUCCAUAAGCUUGGCAUACUGGAAGUACCCCAAGUAGGAACAUGCACUGGAGGUCCAAAAAAGAACUUCAGGGAUGCUUAGUUCUUCAGCGGCUGCAAGAGUGAAGCCCGUUGCUGCAUCAGAAACUAUGCAAGAAACUGGGGGUACUUUCGAGGAAGAUGUAUCGUUGAGUUCGGCAAGUAGCUCCCUGAAGGGACCUAAGCAAGUUCUAUCCAUAGAUUCAAAAAGGGUUGGAAUAUCUUGGGUAGCAUCGACAUCUGAAGGCGGAAGUCCAUCAGGAAUGGCUUUAAAUUGGAAAUCAGGCAAUCCGUUGAGGGCAUCAGGACCUCUGGAUUUAAGCAAGCGCCUGUGGUUGAAUUCAGUGUUGACAAAGGUGAUGUGGAAACCAUUGUGAUGGAGGAGCUUGGCUAGGUUCAGCAUGGGGCCUAUGUGGCCUUGGGCUGCAGCUGGUAUGCAGACUGCAUGAGGCUUCUUCUCUAAUAGAGCAAUGGAACCCAUUCAGUUCUUCUUGCGGGGGAAUUUGAACAGAUUAAAUGGAAAUUGUUAAUGGGAUUUAUGAGGCUUUGGGAUUGGAACGAUUGCAAAGUUGAUGAAAAGGUAGCUUCAUUUAUAUAGACGGAGUCGAUCAGUGGUAAAGUUCUGUUGCAGUAAUAUUUUUCGGGCUGGGUCUACGGUCUACCGGAGAAUAUUCUUCCGCAGUGGCUUUCAAAAUAAUGAGGCUGUCAAUCUCACAAAGUGAAAAGUUAACAUCUGUUAAUAGUCAUUAGUCUAUUGCUAGGAACACUUCUUUCUUCGUCCAAGGAUUAAAAUAAUUGCUUGGAGUUCUUCAUUUUUUUCAUCUACCUGCUCAAGAAACGUCUGAGUAAGUUGGAACAAAACAAAAUGGUGAAUACAAUAUAUAUAAUAAAGGAAAAAAUGACACUUGUGAUCUACGUGCUUGCGUAUUUAUCAGUGGCCGCUACUGGAGUCAUCACCAACACUGGAGGGUUACCUCCAAUUCAAGAAAUCAAAGUUAGACUUCUUUAUCGUCCCAAAAAGGGGUUCAAUAAUAAAAUAGAAGAAAAAAUCUGGGAAUUCUCUAUCCUUUAUUUUUUGUAUGUACAACUUGUGAGGGGAAUGACGUGAACCCUUCACGAUUACUCAUAGGCCAUAGCUGAUAAUUUGGUGCGGCCCUCCGCCGUUGAGGAGGCAUAUUCAGCAACCAUUAGUUUGCCCACGUCGGCGAGUUAAUUGAUAGACGAAGAAAUCUGGGUCACUCUUUAUUCUGGGACGGCGAAGACACAAUUUUAGUAUCUUGACAGGUGAGGAUUAAACUAUUUCAACUUUUGGUUUCGCCGGCUUAGGCAAAUAGUUAAAUCCAACAGUCACCUUAGAAAUCCUAACAAAGGAAGAUAUCAGAGAGAAAGCAUGCCAAAUCCACCAAUAUGUAACAAGUGUUCUACGUAAAUUUCUCAUCAAUUGCUUAAUUACGAAAAAAGUACUCCAAUUCUUGUAGUUUUGUAUAGUUGUUGUAAGUGAAAUUCUUUUUUUUUUUUGGCGGGAUUACUAAGAAAGUGAUUAAUUCCAAAUUCAAAGAGGUUACUUAUGUUAACAAUAGUAUACGACUUGAGGAAGGAAUAUGCAAUUUAUGAAAGUACAGGGUUCCAGAUUUAGUAUGCAAGAAGCGUUUGAUAAUAAAAAAUAACACAUCUGAAUAAAUAACACUGAAUCUCUUAAGCAAACUUGCUCCAAAAGUGAGAAGUUUUCUGAUUCUCAUUUAAUGUGAUAUACAAUCAAAUAUAUCACAUUAAUAUUUAAUAAUUCAAUAAUUUACUAUAUUCAAAUUUUAAAUUUCAAUUUUAUCAAACACGCUCUCAAUCGAAUUAUUGUGCAAUUCAAAACACAAGAAACCACCAAAAAGAUUUUCAUUGAAUUAAAUCUUUCUAAAUGUUCAUACCACCUUUUGCUUCUCUAUAUGUUCAAACAUGUGGUUUGAAUUAUUUAAUUAAAUUAAAUUAGACAAAUUUUCAAUUCAAUAACUCCAUGAGUCUUAUAUUUGCCCCUUUUUAUUAUUUUUUGUUUCAGUUUUUUAAGGUUGAGCCUUAUUCUAUUACAGCGUAAGCAUAAAAAAAGUUUACAAAGAGAAAUAUCUAACCAACUUAGCUAACUCAGUUGGUCAUCAGAGUCCUCCCCUAUAGGACCAUUAUUUAAAAAAAAAAAAAAAAGAAAUAUCUCAAAACAGUGAAAAAAGGAGAAAUAUCUCAAUACAAUGCACAAGCCUGUUCGAGCAACUCAAAGCUGCAAUCAGAACUCAACACUCAAAAUAGGAAAGAAAACAGCUAAAUAAUACAGAGAAAAAAAAUAAAAACCUAUACAGAGGAAAAAGCCGAUUAAAAUCCCAAGCAGUACGCUAUCAAAUCAAUUACCCUUCGUUCUGCUAAUUCUUCUCCUUGAAGCAAUAGAAGAUUUAACAUGAAUUUGCACAUUUUUAGCUCCAAGUAAACUGACAUAGCCCAUCGUUUCACAAUAAUUUACCUUGUAAAGAAUUGGAGCUCGAUUCAGUUACAUUUUCAACCAAACUACCAACAAAGAAAUAAGUGCAAAAAGGACCGAAAAAACAUUACAGCGAUGCGCGCAAUACAAGGCCGACAAUAUCUGUACCCAAGUCUCAAAUUCAAUAAGCUAAGCAUGAGAACAAUUUGGAUACAUUCACUUUAACGUGUCUAGUGUCUUGGAUUGAGAAGCACUUGAUUAAUCGCAUUCUCAAGAUUGAAGACAGACUUUCGCGUAGCUGCUUCCACCAAUCUUUUCCACUUAAGGCCUUUCUCUUCAUCUUCUUGCCCUUUUCUCCUACCAUUAACUCUGUAACAAGCCUUUCAACAUGAUCCCUCUUAACAUUAUUGUCUAUCUCCAAUCCAAUGCCCCAUUUUGUGCAGCAAAAUCAGCAAUUAGUUUGUUGGUCAGCGAAAAACGGCCAACAGAUCAUAGGCAGCCCAUAGCUAAUGCUUUCAAUCGUGGAAUUCCAUUCACUAUGAAUUAAGAAUCCUCUAACAAAAGGGUGCUUAAGAACUUUCGCUUGAGAGCACGAGCUUGCAAACAUGUUGGGAUUCGAGUGCAAAACAAAUAACUACUGAAACAUCAAAUACAUAACAAUUUGAUGACAAACAAGUCACAAGUAUGAAAGAUAACGACACAUAAUAUUUAACAUAAUCAAUUCCAUCAUUGAACCUACGUUCAUAGAGAGAACACCCACUUUUUAUUAUCAGAGAAAAACUUUAUAUUAGAAUACAAUUUGAAUCCAACCUCAACCCUUAUAUACUAUUUCUCAUUUUUCAAGAAUCCUCUCUCAUUCUAUAUUUAAAACUGCAUGUCCCCCUAAUGUACUUAUUAUGUGCCAAUAUAUAGUAUGGCAAUUCACCUAUUUAUAGAAAAUAUUAUUUGGCUAAAAAUCAAAUAAUAACAGGAAAUUAAUACUAAUCCCUAAACUUGUACAAAAUAGAAGAUAACUUCUAAAUCCUAAACAAAAUAGAAAAUUUUUUUACUACUAUUUCAAAUAAAUAAAAUCAAUUACUCCCUCCAUCUCAUUUAUUUAGUCAUGUUUAGAGAAUCUUUUUAAAAAUAGUGAGUGUAUUUGAAUUGUAAAUUAUUUGAGAUAAUUUUAUGAAAAAAGUACUGUAGAAUUUUUUUUGAUAUGAUAUAUGUGAGAUAAAAAGAUAAUUGGAAAAUGUGUUGAUGAUGCAAGCAAAUCAGUGUGUGUAAAUAAGGUAUAAAUAAAGUAUAUUUUUUUACAAUCCUAACACACUCAGUGAUUUGAUUGUAAUAUUUGUACUUCUUUUUUCAAUUUUAUUUCCACAAAUUCAAAUUUUAAAUUUGAAUAGUAACAUGCAUGUAAUUAGAAAGAAUGACUAUAUUGGAAAGACAGAUUAAAAGGUGUUUUGACUUUUCUAACAUGAUAAUUGUUUUAGAACGUUUUAAAAUGGAAAGUAUGACAUUGGAAAGAGAGAUUAAAAGAUGUUUUGACUUUUCUAACAUAACAAUUGUUUUGGAACAUUUUAAAAUAAAAAGUAUGACACUUUCAAUAGGACGGAGAGUAGAAAACUAGUUAAUUAAGAAACCUAUCGAAAAAAAAUUAAAUCAAUUUCCUACAAAUCUCCACCUUAACAAAUAUUUCUUUUAGGAUCCAUUUACCUUCAAUUACCAAAUACACAUCUGAAUCAAUACAGUUCUGACAUCUAAUUGAUUCAAUCGGCAAGUGAACAUAUGUAGUUACUCUAAAUCCAACCUCCCGUUGACUCGCGAGAAGGUACCUCAAUUCACUAUCUCCCUUCGUAGGAUUUCUUCUCACCAUCACUUGCAACUCGAAAUCUCCUUCUGUGAGUUAUAUUUCUAAUCAUUGAGACAAUUAAGUGGUAAAAUUAUCAUACUUCUUCAUAUUCUCAGGAUUGUCUCGUCUAGUGUAAUUGUCAAGACUCUAUCUAUAACAUAAAACUCAUAGCCAUCAAAGUUUUCUUGCAUUUGAGAAUUAUAUCCCUUUAUUUCUUUAAAACACAUGUCACACCACCUAAAAAAUAUAAUUCAAAUCAAAAGAUCAUUUGAGAUGAAGUAUCAACUGUUAGAGUUGCGAGAAUGUCUCCACCGAUUCAUGUCCAAAAUUAACAUUGAAUUUCACCUUUUUUUCACUCUUGAAUGACUUGUCUAAAUUCACCAUCAAGUAUUUUCAAGCUUUUCAACUUUUCAUCAUUCACCACUAAUGCUUUUUGUCAAAUCCUUAAAACAAGGAUGCUACUUAUUAAAUUGUUCAAUUGGCAACCGUCACCAAUCCACUUGAUCACAAUAAUCAAACAUGAUCCAACCAUGAACCCCGCUUUGAUACUAGUUUGUUGGGAUUUAAGUGUUUGUGAGCAACUCAAUCUUACAAUUAAGUUCUGAUACCACUUGUUGGGAUCCAAACACGAACAAACAACUAUUGAAAUAUCAAGUACACAAUAAUUUAAUGUCAAACAAACCACAAACAUGAAAGAUAAACUACACAUAAUAUUUAAUAUAGUUCGAUUCCAUCAUUGAGUCUACGUCUACAGAGAGAUCAUCCGUUCUUUAUUAUGACAGGAAAAUCCUAUAUAAAAAUACAACUUAAACCCAAAUCCAACUCUUGUAUAGCAUCUUUCAUCUCUCAAGAACCUUUUCUCAUCCUAUGUAUAAGAUUACAUGUCGCCCUUGUAUUCUCAUUAUGUGUCACUUUAUAGUAUGUCAAUCCACCUAUUAAUAGAAAGUAUUAUUUAACCAAAAAUCAAAUAAUAACAGGAAACUAAUACUAAUUUCUAAACUUAUACAUAAUAGGAAAUAACUUCUAAAUUCUAAAUAAAAUAGAAAAUUUCUUAACUACUAUUUUAAGUAAUUAAAACUAAUUAGAAAAUUAAUUACUUACACACAAAUUAAGAAACAUAUCUAAAAGAAAUUAAAUUAAUUUUCUAACAAAACACGCAUCUUUCCUUGGUUUCUUCAAGAAACUCACUCGAAAGAAUAGCUGAAUCGCCUAAAAUAAGGGUCCCGUUUGGCAAGUGAGUUUUUUGAGUGUUUGUCUAAAAUUUUACUAUAACUUACUGUAGAAGUUUUUUAAAAAAUUUUUGAAGUGUAUUUUUUUGGAAUAUUUUGAAAUGUAUAGUUUAAAAAUUUUGAAAAUUUUUUUGAGAUUACGGUAGUUAAAGUUUUUAAAAAACUUAUAGCAGACAAAUUUGGCAAAAAACUUGUCAGCCAAACAAGGUCUUAAAAUCCAUAAUAAGUCUUGUUUAGUGUUAGCAAGUCCCAAUGCAAAUUCGACUAGUUGCUCAGGUGCCAUAAUAGCAAUGCUUCCAAAGUUGACAUGAACCAUCGAGUUUGGAUCUUUCGAAUUAAGCCACUCAAGACAUUCAGUUUUUUCUUUCCAAAGAUUUGAUCCAAUUUCUUUCAAAUUCUUAUCCUUAAUUUGAUUAUCGAGGAUGUUUAGCGGCCCAAUGGGAUAAAUCGGAGGAAGAUAAGAUGAAAGGGCAUGUAAUGCAUGCUGUUCCAGUUGUUGAAAGGUAUUUAUAAUGAUGGCAAAAGCCUCUCGAGCUCUCCCAGUUUCUUGCAUGAUGUAUUUUAGCAUAAAUUCAUCUGGAUUUGUGGUUCUUAAGAAAAUUGGAAAAUCCUUUAAACUUAUACCUUUCAAUCCUAGAAUCCAAUCUAGAACAGUGUCUAGAUAUCCAUUUGUCAAGUAACUAGCAUUUGGAAACCACAAAUGUUUUACAACCAAAACAUCUGAAUCAUAGAACUUGCAAGGAGAAAGGCUAAUUGCUAAGAAUACAUGUAAAAAGAUAUAUAUAUAUAUAUAUAUAUAUCGCACAAAUGUAUCUCUGAUACACACCAUUUCUUAUUUUAUACCUGCCGUGCUGAUUGGGCAUGGCCGCAGAACGAAUUGUCAGAAACUCUGCAAAAAUGUCAGUGGGUCAGCGGCCUACAAUUUUUUUUUUAAUUAGCCUGUCUGGGUACGGCUGGGGACAGGUGGCAAAAAAAAAAAGGGCCAGCAAAUGGGUUGUAUUUGGGAACAUGAAUUUUGUAGCAAAAGUGAAACGAAAGGCCAUACAAAUUCACUGCACUAGCUGCCCUCUUUCUUUCUUUCACUCUUUUCUUUGCUCUUUAUUUCUUGGAAGAGAUAUCUAAACGAUUUUAUUGCACUAAUCCUAAUCAAAGAUUUUGGUUUUAUAACUUAAAGAUUUUGCUGUGGAGUCUUAUAACACUUAAGUUAGGAAGAUCAAAUUUUCAAAGUGGAAAUGGAAGAUUAUUAUAUUUUUCAAGCUGCAAAUUAGUAUAAUUCUAUGUACAAUGAAAAUUCAAUGCUUGCUCAAAUUUUUUGACGAACAACAUGUGUAAGCUAAUAUAUGAAUAUUUAUAUGUAAAUUAAAUGCAGUUUAUACGCGACAAAAUUCAUGAAUAAGAAUCCAUAUAUGUAAAAUUAAUAUACAUUUUUUUUUAUUUUUGCUACUAAUCAGAUACAUUUGUGACUAACUGGUAUUCAAAGCUAAAUUUUAAUCAAAAUUUGAAGUUCCUCCUCAAUGAAGUUCAACACUUGAAGAUGCGCUGACGGUCUUGGCCGAGUUUUCGAACCAUGCUCCUAUGGUUUAAUUUCUCAACCAGAACGUUGCAGUCAGAAAGCAUCAAGAUGGACGUCCAAUUUUCCUUCAAUGCGUUGAGCAAGGCAGUUCUGAUAGCAUGAGCUUCUAGGUUUGUAGCCUCUCCUUUUAAUGAGUUUGGGAUUGACCAUAUUGUCUUUGGACGCUAUACCAAUACCAAACUGGUCUCUUUGCUGGUCCACUGCAGUAUCUAUGUAGAUGAUAGAUGAGUGUUAUUGUUGGACCACCGCAAUCUUGUCAUGACUAUCCAGCUGAGCAUUGUUUUCUUGUUUUUCACAAGUGUUUAGGGGGUUUGCCUCUUUAAACUCAAGCCAAUCUGUCAUGGCCUAUUGGGAGAUUCGAUAACCAUCUUGGUUGAUCAGGUUAAAGUUCCAAUUAUUCCUUACCUUCCAGAUAUGCCAAAGUUGGUUAGCUGUCAUUUCAAUAUGAGCUUUGCCAUCUACCAUUUCUCUAGCCUAUUGUAAGCUCUCCCACCAUGUUCAAAAGCUCCCUUUCAAUUGUUCUAGACCAUCCCAUUUGAUAGGGAAAGUUUUCCAAAUCUGCUCGCUUGUCCUACAAAAGAAAAGAAGGUGUUCUCAUGUUUCUGCACUUUCUCCACAACUCCUGCACCAAGGUUCUUCUUUCCUGGUCUUCGGAAUAUAUUCUCGUGGGUGGGAAGAAUGUCGUGUAGGCAUUUUCCACAGGAAGUGAUUAACCUUGUGUUUAAUGUUGAGGUCCCAAACUUGAUGCCAAAUUCUGGAAUUCUGUGUAUUCUUACUAGUGCUCUCAUGUUGCAGAAGCCUUUUGUUGUUCCUUUCCAUUCUUUCCUUGGCCUUUACAUAUCUAGUUUUGGUAGUAUAUUUACCAUUUGCACUGUUGCACCAAGUGUACCUGUCCUUCCCUCCAAAUAAGCUAAAUGGGAUAGCUGUGAUUAGUUUGGCCUCUUCAGCAAAGAAAAUGGAGUUUAUGAUGUUCGAAUUCCACUUCUAGUCAUGAAUCAAAUCCGAGACUUUGUCAUAUGGACAAUUGUGUGGCUUAGGUGUGGAGAUUUUACUUGAGCUGCUGUUUUUGAGCCAUCAAUCCUUCCAAAUUGCCAAAUUGCAAUAGUGUUGCCAUUUCCAACCUGCUUCCUUAAUUCACUUUCCAGCAUCCCAGUUGAACUGUGCAGACUUUGCUAGAUCCACGAAGCUCCAUUUUUCACCUGUGCAUCAAGAAUAGAGGAUUUGGGGAAAUACCCUCCUUUUACCAUCUUACUAACCAACAAGUUUGGAUUGGUAAGCAUUAUCCAAACUUGUUUGGCUAGUAAGGCAGUGUUAAAGCAUUGAAUAUCCCGGAAACCAAGUCUCCCUUUCCCUUUAACAUCAGAAAUAUCAGCCCAACUCUUCCAAUGCAUUUUCUUUUCUUUAGAAUCACCUCCCCACCAGAAUUUAGCCAUCAUCCCGUAAAGCUCUUUACAUAGUUCAGCAGAUAGUUUGAAAACUGACAUUGCAUAUGAAGGGAGAGCAAGGGCCACAAAUUUGAGUAAUACCUCUUUACCUACAAAACUCAGCAUUUUAUCUUUCCAACUUUGUAGCUUUUUGCACAUCUUCUCUUUAAUGAACGUGAAGACACUAUUCUUUGAUCUACCUAUCACCAUAGGCAAGGAUCACUAGUAUUUGCUUUGAGUGACAAGUUGGAUGUUGCCAAGUGGUCUCAAGAUAGCUUCUGCCUCUGUUUGAGAAAUAUUUUUGCUAAGGAACACUGAUGAUUUCUCAAUAUUUAUUUGUUGUUCCGAGGCCUUUUCGUAGCACUUGAGAAUUCGCUUGAUCUCUUCAGCUUCACUUGUGUUGGCUUUGGAAAACAUAAGGGAGUCGUCAGCAAAAAAGAGAUGAGAAAUUGUUGGACUUUUUCAGGAGAUUUUGAAUCCCAGAAAUUCUGUUAUCCUCAGUGGCUUGCUUAAGAAGAUGUUAGAGGCCUUCUGCACAAAAAAAGAAGAGAUAGCGAGAUAGAGGAUCUUCAUGUCUAAUUCCCCUAGUGAGACACAUAGCCUUGUUUUUCCCCCAUUAAUGUUAAAACUAAAAGACUUGGAUGAUAAACAACCACGAAUCCAUUUAGUCCACCUUGGGCAGAAGCCCAUUUUACACAUGACAGCAAACAAAAACUUCCACUCAACCCUAUCAUACACUUUGGACAUAUCAAUCUUUAAGAAACAUAGAUGCAUCUUUACCUCCCCUCAUAUUAUUGAGCCAGUGAAUGUACUCAUGUGCAAUAAUGAUGUUGUCUAUAAUUUGUUCCGGGACGAAUGCAGCCUGAGAAUGACUGAUAUAACCACCUAAGAAGGGUUUAAGUCUAUUAACAAUAACUUUGUAGACAAACAUUACAAAGGCUAAUGGACUUGAAGUGGGAAAGAUUGACAGGGGUAUCAAUUUUGGGGAUGAGGGUGAUUAAUGUCUCAUUAAAGGCUUUUAACAUGUGGCCAAUACUAAAAAAGUUUUGAAUUGCCUCCAUAAUAAACCAAAAUCUUUGAAAGAAGAUGGGGACAUAUCGUGGGGUCCUGGUGCCUUGUUAGCAUGCAUGGAAAAAAGUGCUGCUUUGACUUCCUUUUCUGUGACAAGUUAGGUAAGCUGCAAGUUCAUCUCAGUAUUAAUUGUCCUGGGGAUGCCAUUCCGAAUUUCCUCAGAGUCAUUAGGCUGUGAGCGUGUAGAACGCACAUAGAUAGAAGCUCAUCUGCAUAUGGGCGUAUGUUGCACAUUUAUUCAAGUAAAACUAAACGCACGUUUCUUUGAUAGGAGCCCAAAAUUGUUAAUUCGACUGAAGCGAAUUGGGAAAAUUUGCAUAACAAGAAUUCUUUGUUUCGAUGGACUUUUCUGGCAAGUGCAUAGGGUCACUUGUUAGACAAAUUGAAAUUUUACAUGUUCCAACAUCUGAUGAAAGAGAAAUUCUUAUGUAAAAUUGCACAACUAGCCAUCUUUUGGCCAAAUUAGAUUGUACAUUUGUCCAAACUGCCAAAGUACAUUCAUCAAUCAAUAACAAAUAUGAUAGAAAUAUUGCAGCAAACAACGGAUCGGCAAUGAAAAAUAUUAAACAAGAAGUAAAGAACUCAAGAAGCAUUUUUGAAAGCGAACCAUGCAUGUACGAGUAAUUAAAAGGAAAAUCUCUAACCAAGUCCAAAUUCAACGAGCCGAAGAACAACUCUUUAGAUUCUAAUGGACCCAAAUCAAUAUCAUAAAUCCAAAGGAACAAUUAAGGAAAAACAUAGACGAGGCAAAUGAAAAUUUUCUUAUAGAUGAAACACGAUGCAGCUACAAUACAAAGACAACAGCCACCGACAAAGGCAUUGACUAUUCUUCACCGCACCAAUAAGCCAUAUGCGGCUAACUACUAUUACCACUACUAUACUAAAUUUAUGGGAUUGAAUCCCACGCGGCCAACCUUACAAAUCCACAGCACAACUUUCUGUACUAAUCAAUACAUUGAUGACAUAUGGCAUCAACAUCAUUGAAAAAAAAAUAC